RNAcentral lists this long non-coding RNA (46590 nucleotides) under Populus tremula. Its description in RNAcentral is "long non-coding RNA (PTRE_LNC003282)". The stretch from base 39277 to 39433 matches the Rfam family "MIR2912 microRNA precursor family". Lineage: Eukaryota; Viridiplantae; Streptophyta; Magnoliopsida; Malpighiales; Salicaceae. The record is from RNAcentral.
AAUUCCUUUAAUUUGGAGAGGCGUUGAAUGGCUGUUGAACUUGGCAUAUACUUGAGAUUCUGGCAAUUCUCAAUCCAAAGAGAUUGAAGAGAAGAAAGGUUGGCCAUCCAUUGAAAUCCAUUAUCCCCAAUUCCUCGAGGGCAGUGAGGUGUUGAAGUUGGUGUGGUAACUUCAGUUUAUCCCAUCCAUGUAUGUAUAGGGAUUUGAGGGACCCACUCAAGUUGAGGUGUUGGAAUGAGUUUAAAACUCCUACAGGAAAAGCCUUCAUCUCCUCUGAGAAACCACCGAUUCUCAAUUCCUGCAGUUGGGUGAGGCCACCCAACCAAUCAUCCUCUGGGAUAUCACUCAAACUGGGACACGCGGUGAUUUCUAAUUCAACAAGAGAUCGCAAUUGUCGUAAACCAUGCCAAUCAAUACUGAUGAGCUUAUCACAACCUUUAAUCAAUAAUCUUCGAAGCGAAGACAAUUCUUGAAAAUCAUUGCAAUGGAUAAGCUCACUCCAAUUAAUUAUCUCUAAUACCUCUAGAGAUGCGCAACAUUGUAGUCCGCUUGGAAGAGCUCCCAAUUUACACCUAUUAACAAUCAAUUUCUUCAAAGAAUUCAAAUCUCGGAAAUCACCAGGAAUUGAGAUCAACUCACCGCACAAAUAUAUAAUCAAUUCCACCAGAGCUGUGCAGUGUUGUACGCUUGGAAUGGAUGCCAGCUUUGGACACCUCCAUAUACUUAAAACUCGAAGAGACGUGAAGCCAUGAAAUUCACCAGACAAAUAUCUCAGUUCAUCACAUUGCUCAAUUUUAAAUACUACAAGAGAUGAAAGACGACAUAUCGGAAUGCUUUCCAACUUUCCACAACACUCAAUGCUCAACUUUUCAAGACUAGGAAAUACUGCAACAACUUCUCCACCUGGUACCAUCCAUUCUUCAAGACCAUCCAUCCUGGAUAGAGUGAGUAUUUGUAGUGCUGGAAACAGUACACCUGCGCUGUCUCUGCUACUAGAGAACUCAUUGCCUAUACAUUUCACAUUAGGCAUUCCACUCAUCUCUAGAAUCCUAAGGCGUGGAAGACAUCCAAGUGUUGGGAGUUGCCUCAACUUGCUGCAGCCUUUCAAUCUCAGCACCGUCAGAUUAUUGAGUUGCAAUAUCCAUGAUGAGAAAUUUUCACCUCCAUAACCCUCAAUUGUCAAGCUUCUUAUGUCUGGGUGAGGCUGCAGGCCUUCCAGCACAUCCUCGCUAUUGACACUGCUGUUACCUUCAUCAUCACUCCAUUCAAACACCAAUUUGUUCAUUCUUUUUCCACUCAGUUCUGCCUUCUCAGCUUCUUCUCUGUCUCUCACUUGCUCAAGCUUGCAUAUCUUCAAUGCUCCUCUUAGUUCUUUCAAACAUCCCAGCUCUUCAACCAUAUGAUCUGGACCCACAGCAAAUAUCGGCAGAGUUUGAAGGCGUGUUAAGAGUCUCACCUCAGCUGGCACUAGCUUUGGAUCAUCAAAAUGAAGAUGUCUCAAGCUCACUAAAUUCCUCACUUUCUGGGGAAGCUUUUCUAGACUCGCAAUCAGUGAAUCUUAAUGUUUCCAAAUGGUAGAGCUUGGUGAUGGAUUCCGGCAAUGCUCUGAUAGCAGUAUCCGAGACAUCAAGAUAUCUCAAAUGUCUCAGCUUGCAAAUUGAAUCUGGUAACUCUGUGAUAUCAGACCUGCAAUUUGAGAGUUCUCAAGCUUUUGAAUUUCCAAGCCCGUUGAAUACAUCAACCAUUGAGAAAACAGUUCGCAAUUUUCUAGCAUCAACCGCUGUUAAUGCUGCCUCGUCAUCCCCACGAGAUACGAGAUUUAGAUGACGAAUAUGAGAUGCACCAUCAACAGCCGAACCCUCUUCCAGAUUUAACGCUUCUGAUUUUGAGACCUGUAAUGCAAGAUCAUGCACUAGAUCAUGCAUCUUGCAACUUGUUACGAUCUCACACUCGUUCCUUUUAACAUCUUGGAAAAAGGAAUUUGCAAGCAAGUCAUUGAAACACUUGCUGCCUUCGUCUUCCAUCCUCCCAUUUGAUGGCCUGAGAAAACCUUCAGCCAUCCAAAGUUGAACCAGCUUUUCCCUUUCAAUUUCAAAAUCUUUAGGGAAAAUGGAACAGUAUGCAAAACAUUUUUUCAGUGUUGGCGAUGACAGGUAAUCAAAACUUAAUGUCAAUACGCGCAAAGCAUUAUCUCCAUCCGGAGAAUCCCAAAUUCUACUGUUUAGAAUCCCAAAGCAUUUUUUCCAAGGCCAGCCAUCCCCACUAUAGGGACAACCGGAAGGACAUGUCGGUGUUUGGUCAAGCUAGUCAGCAAUUCCAUAACUUUAGAGACAUCAUCCUCCCUUCCUACAACCUCUGAGCUGUCAAGGAUCGAAUGUGUCACUCGAUCUGGGUCCCAGCUAACUUCUUGAGCUCUAUGUACAGGUAGAGAUGUCAAUCCAAGCCCAAAUCCGGCUGCAUCUUUCCGGAUUUCAUCCAGGGCUUCAUUGAUCUUCUUAACUUUUUGACCCAUAAUCAAACGGAAUGCAACAGGAUUGUGGAGUGAAAACCAAUCACGUACCUUUCCCUUCUUUUGGUCUUUUCGGAGAAUCUCAUAAGCAAACUCGUCCAGAACAUCUUCAGCAUCGUAAGCUACAUCCUGUAGGUUCUGCAGCCAACGCUUCCAGACUCGUCUGUUACUGCCCUUCUGGCUGCGUCUUGGAGCACACCUUUGAUCUUGGUCAAGGACUGGUUGAGCUUUCGCAGCUGGCCCUCCAAUCCCAAGCAAGUCCGAUCCCUUCAGCAGCAAUGGAACUCACCCUUUUCAAAGUCUCCUCCAAGGCAAACGUAAGAGAAGCUCUGCUGCCAUUAUUCUCCGUCUCUGUGUUUUUUUUUUUUUUUUUUUUUUGGGGGGGGAAUCAAAGAAGAAAUUUUGAGCACAAGAGAGAGAGAAGCAUGGUGUGAAAUAUUAAAAGAUGAAACGGAGCAUAGUUGCAUGAGGGUCCCUUCCUCCCUAAUUGAUUGAUGGCUGUUGGCAGCAUCUUCCACGAACCACUACUGUCAUGUUGUUAUGGCAUGGCUAAGAAAAUUCCACGUACGCCUUUGUCGGCAUGGUGUUUGGUAUCACUUUUAAACGAUACCAAAUACCAUGCCGACAGGAGGAAACGAUUCCAAUCUAUUGAUCAUGAACAUGAGAAACUGAUGAUGUAUUUAUUUUUGAGAUAAUUUUUGUGUUUAUAAUUUCUAAAAAUUAAGUUUUAAAAAAGUAUAGUUGGAUGAGGUUAUUUGGAAUUAAAUAUAUAUUUGGUAAAAAUUAUGGUUGAGGUUUAUAUACAGUAAAAAAACAUGUAUAAAAUGUUUGGUUGUUAUUACUUUUCAAAAGUAUUUUUUACUUUGAAAUGUAUUAAAAUAUAUAUUUUUUAUUUUUAAAAAAUUAUGAUUGAGGUUUAUACGCAGUAAAAAAACAUGUAUAAAAUGUUUGGUUCUUAUUACUUUUUAAAAAUGUUUUUUACUUUGAAAUGUAUUAAAAUAUAUAUUUUUUAUUUUUUAAAAAUUAUUUUUGAUAUCAGCAUAUUAAAAUGAUCUGAAAUAUAUAUAUAAAAAUUUGAAGUAAGGAAAAAAUAAUUUUUUUUCAAUUUUGAAAAAAAAUGCUUUUGAAAUGCAAAAAUAAAAAGAAUUUUAUGAAACUCAGUUUAAAAAACAAGUAUAAACUGCUUUACAAAAAUCACGUUUUAAAUUCAAUUUUUUAGUAGGUCUUACAGAAUAAAACACAAUUUAAUAUAUUAUCAACUAUCUAACUUUAAUUUUUACACCGUAAACACAUAAACUAAGAAUAAACAAACACAUCCUGAGCUGAAUACUUCCGUUAUCAACAAGAGAAUAUGACUUCUUGUAGUGGUAGAACACCUCCUUCGUAGGAAGUCCCCAUUCCUACAUUAAACAAAAAGUGAUAUUUGAUUAGAAUUAACCUAAAACAAACUAACCUAUUUUUUUAGCGACUAGAGGUCACCAAAAUCUGGGCAGUUAAGGCGAUGUGUCGUUUGCUUGAGUAAGACAGGUGAUGUGUCGCCUCUAUUUUUUUUCAAAUCAUUAAGAGGGAGACGGGUAGUCAUUCUUCUCUUUUAUAUAUAUAUAUAUAUAUAUAUAUAUAUAUAUAUAUAUAAGGCUUAAUUAGGUGCAUGGGCUGCUCCAGGCUCGCGCACCUAUACCUUUUUGUAGAGGUUUAAAAGCUCUAGGCUUUCUUAGCAUGAGAGAAUGAGCUUCUUUUUUCAAUUUCAUCACCUAAAUAUUUGGUUGAUUAUUAAUUGGGUAACAUAAUUUACUUCAGUUUGAUUUUUUUUCCAAUCGCUUUGGUAUUUUGCAGGUUCUUAAUUUUAUAAAUGUAUAUUUUAGAUCAAAUAUUAUAAAAAGAUUGUUGAACCCUGUUAAGUUUGUGAUCUAGGUCAUGAGUUUGGUUGGUUUACUUUGACUGGGUAGGAAUUGAACUAGAUAAAACUUUUUUUUCCGCAUAAAUAGUUCUCAAUUUUUUUUUAAUUAUAUACAUGCAUGAACUUUUUAAAUUUUGCUUGACAUUUCUUUAUGUACAAAAACAUGUUGUAAAAAGUUUGCGCAUAUAUAUAUAUAUAUAUAUAUAUAUAUAUAUAUAUAUAUAUAUAUAUUUGAUCAUUGGUGAAACGCGGGUAAAAUAGCUAAUACUACUAUUACUAAUUCCAGCCUGACCUAGGAGUGAGACAACUAGCCCCCCAACAUCUACAUGCAGAGUGUGUUUAUUUAUGCGGUUAGACCGUGAUUUUGAAGGCUUUUUUAGUUUUAAAUUAAUAAUUUUUAGUAUUUUUUAUUGUUUUGAUGUGUUUAUAUAAAAAAAAUUUAAAAAUAUUUUAAUACAUUUCAAAAUAAGUUUUUUAAAAUAAUCUAAUAAUAUUUUACAAACAAGACUCGUAAUAGGUUAUGCCACUACAUGUGCACCAUUAUUUCCAUUUCUUGUGUGUCACAAUAUAUUUAUAUUUAUAUUUACAGUACAACUAUGAAUGAGAUGGUCAAAGGUUGAAGGGAAAAUAUUAAAUCAAUUGAUCUUAUUAUAAAACUAUAACAUAGGAUCAGGACACCGAAGAAGAAAGGAAGAAAAGUUGUCUCUGUGAGUGACAAUGAUACGAUGCUUCUUUUCAUGUGGAAUUUUUGGUCUAAGACUUUUUGUGCAUGUAAAAUUGUGAGGGGAUGCACCUUAAAAAGGUAGGGUGUCAUUAGCCCAUGAUUCUAUUCAUUGGGAUUUAUUACAUUGAUGCCAAUUCUUUUAAUAUCAAUUAACAAAAGCUCGAGCUUGAGUAAAAUUAAAAAAAAAUAAGUUUUUAUUUUAUAUAUAUAUAUAUAUAUAUUGAUUGUUUUAAUAUAUUAAUAUCAAAAAUAAUUUUUAAAAAAUAAAAAAAAUAUUAUUUUAAUGCAUUUCCGAGUAAAAAUCAUUUUAAAAAAGCAACCGUUACAAUAUUUUUAAACACCCUUUAUAGGGAAAGAGAAUGGAUGUUGUAUUUAAAUAUAAUAAAAUAAAUUUUAUAUUUAUAUCUCUAUUUUUUCAACCAAAUACGUUUCUAUCCCUUCUUGUUGCAUUUUUAAGAUUAGUAUAUAUCUAUGAGUCUUCCUAUCAUGAGCUAAAUGCAAUAUUCCUAUAUUGCUUUAAAGCUAAUAUUGGACCAACAUUAUUGUGUUAUAAUUUUGAGUUUGAAUCUUUCCUUUAUGAAUCCAAUGCCAAAAAAGAAAAAGAAGAAGAAAAGUAAAGCACACGAGAAUGAGGAAGUUGGCAAAGUAAUUGGAGUUUAAUAGUGUGAAUGCGAUUGUUUUUCAAAUAAUAUUUUUGUAUUAAAAUAUAUGUCAAUGAUAUUUUUUUAUUUUUAAAAAUUAUUUUUGAUAUCAGUCCAUCAAAAUGAUUUGAAAACACUAAAAAAAUAUUAAUUUAAAAUAAAUAAAAAAAAUUAUUUUUUUUCUAAAACAUUUUUAAAAUGUAAAAACAAAUACUAAAACAUUCAUCGAGGCUUUAGCUUUCUGGAUGCUAUGUGUCAAUGUGACACUCUUUCAAGCUCCAAGCUGACAAUUUCCCACAUAAAAAUAAGUUCAAAAUUGUAAUGCCAAAUAAUGUUCGUUCAUGGGCAAUUAGGCCUUUCGUUUUCCUCUAUGAAUCAAGCCCCAGGUGACAAUUGCAUAUCUCUUUUUCAUCCAUGACAAAAAUGAAUUGAAGUAAUGUUUUAUUUAUAUAGAGCAGGCGGACUUAUUAUUGUUAAUUAUUUGUUGUUCUUAUUGUAUAUGAGAUAAAUGGGGGUGUUUGAAAGUGUGAUUCUAAUUGUUUUUUAAAGUGUUUUUUGCUUGAGUGAGAUAGGUGAUGUGUCGCCUUUAUAUUUUUUUUCAAAUCAUUAAAACGCAGACGGCUAGUCAUCAUCCUUUUAAGAAAACUUGAAAAAAAAAAAAAAAAGUUUAGGUGCGGGAGCUGCUCCAGGCUCACGCGCAUAUGCCUUUUUAUAGAGGUUUAGGAGCUCUAGGCUUUCUUAGCAUGAGAGAUUGAACCUUUUUUUAAAAAAAAAAUCCAUUACAACUGGAUUUGUCUUUUUUUUUUUCUUGCUUAUAUUUUGUUCAAUUUCAUCACCUAAUAUUUGGUUGGUUAUUAAUUGGGUAAUAUAAUUUAUUUCAGUUUGAUUUUUUUUCCAAUCGCAGAUCAAAUAUUAUAAAAAGAUUGUUGAACCCUGAUAAGUUUGUGACCUAGGUCAUGAGUUUGGUUGGUUUACUUUGACUGGAUAGGAAUUGAACUUGAUAAUUUAUUUUUUUUGCAUAAAUAGUUCUCAAUUUUUUUAAUUAUAUGCAUGCAUGAAUUUUUUAAAUUUCUCUUGAGAUUUCUUUAUGUACAAAAACAUGCCGUAAAAAGUUUGCAUAUAUAUUUAAAAAAAAUAAAAAACAAUUGACCAGUGAUGAAGCACGGAUCAAAUAACUAGUACUACUACUACUAAUUCCAGCCUCACCUAGGAGUGAGACAACCAACUCUCUGACAUCUACAUGCAGAGUGUAUUUGUUUAUACGGUUAGAUCGUGGUUUUGAAAGUUUUUUUUAGUUUUUUAAGUUUUAAAUUAAUAUUUUUUAGUAUUUUUUUUAUUGUUUUGAUGUGCUUAUAUUAAAAAUCUUAAAAAAUAUUAUUUUAAUACAUUUCAAAACAAUUUUUUUUUAAAAAAAUAAUCUAAUAAUAUUUUACAAACAAGACUCGUAGUAGGUUAUACCAUGUUGCAACUAUGCCACUACAUGUGCAACAUUAUUUCCAUUUCUUCUGUGUCACAAUAUAUUUAUAUUUCCAGUGCAACUAUGAAUGAGAUGGUCCAAGGUGGAAGGGAAAAUAUUAAAUCAAUUGAUCAUAUUAUAAAACUAUAACAUAGGAUCAGGACAACGAAGAAGAAAGAAAGAAAAGUUGUCUAUGUGAGUGACAAUGUUACGAUGCUUCUUUUCGUGUGGAAUUUUUGGUCCAAGACUUUUUGCGCAUGCAAAAUUGUGAGGGGAUGCACCUUAAAAAGGGUGUCAUUUGCGCAUGAUUCUAUUCAUUGGGAUUUAUUACAUUGAUGCCCAUUCUUUUAAUAUCAAUUAACAAAAGCUGCUUGAGUAAAAUUAUUAAAAAUUAUUUUUUAUAAUUUUUUGAUUGUUUUAAUGUAUUAAUAUCAAAAAUAAUUUUUUAAAAAUUAAAAAAAUAUUAUUUUAAUACAUUUCCGAAUAAAAAUCAUUUUAAAAAAUAACCACUAUAAUAUUUUUAAACACGAUUUAGAGUGAAAGAGAACAAAUAUCAAAUUUAAAUGUAAUAUAAAGAAAUUUUAUAUUUUUGUCUCUGUUUUUUCAACCAAAUACGUUUCUAUCCCUUUGUGUUGCACUUGUAAGAGUAGUACCUAUGAGUCUUCCUAUUAUGAGCUAAAUGCAAUAUUUGUUUCUAUAUUUUAAAAUUAUUUUUGAAAAAAUUUAAAUUUUUUCAUUAAUUUUAAAUUAAUAUACUUUUAGUAUUUUCAAACCAUUUUGAUGUGUUGAUAUCAAAAAUAAUUUAAAAAAAAAUAAAAAAAAUCAUUGACAUGUAUUUUGACAUGAAAAAUUAUUUAAAAAAUAAUCAUAAUCACACUGCCAAACAAGCUCGUAAAGCUAAUCUUGGGCCAAGAUUAUUGUGCUAUAAUUUCGAGUUUGAAUCUUUCCUUUAUGAAUCCAAUGCCAAAAAAGAAAAUGAAGAAGAAAAGUUUAACACACGAGAACGAGGAAGGUGGCAAAGUAAUUGGAGCUUUGUCCCUUUACAUGGUGACCUUACCUUUCUGGAUGCUGUGUCAAUGUGACACUCUUUCAAGAACAACAUUAUUAAAUUCACAUCCUACCGACUAUUAUGGCUGUCAUAGAAUCAAGGUUGUUAAUUUCAUUUCGUUUCAUCUGGAAUGGCUAAAACAUUUUAUAUUAAUUCAAAAAAUAAAACAAAACAGAAUAAUUUUCAUCUCAUUUUAAAUCUUAGUCCAUUUUGAAUUUUUCGGCUAAAUUUCGUUUGUAAUGUUCCGGUUUCAUUCCAUAUGUUCCAUUUCGGUCUUAAAAAGCCAUUAAAUCAAAUUGAACCUGAUUCAAUUUAAUUAAUUAAAUCACUUAAUUAUAAAAAGCUUAUUUUCAUUACUAUUUUCAAUAAUAAUGAUAUUAAAAAUUAUUAUUACUAUUUUAAUUAACAAUGAUAUUAAUUUUUUAAAUUAGAUUUAUCACUAAUAUAUAUUGUUUAUAUUCAUGUUAUUUUUUUCAAGAUUAUACUUUGAGAAUUUGAGCAAAAUAAUAAAUGCUUUAGAUAUCAUUAGCCUUAAUAAUAUUAACCUGACUUUAUAUUUAAAAUGUUUGUGUUAAAACAUUUUAAUUUUAUAAUAUUUUGAUAUUUUGUUUAAGUUGAAUUAUUUUAAGUUAAAAAUCUAUUUAAUCUUAACUAUUUAGAAAUAUUUUAAAUUAUAUUUGUUUGAUAUUAUUUUUGUAUUGCAUAAUUUAUAAUUAAUUUAUCUUGAAUUUGAAUUAUGUUUGUUAUAUAUAUAUAUAUAUAUAUAUAUAUAUAUAUAUGAACAGUACAAUCUCGAAAUGGCACACCAAAAUACUUCAAAAUUAAAAUAUUCAAUUCUAAUUAAAAUAACAAAACACCUACUAAUACAGAAUUUACAACCUUGUAUAGAAUAGCAAUGGCCAUCAUGCCAUAAAAGCCUGAUUUGGAGCCAAUUCCUCUCUCUUGCCACUACUUUAAAAACCUUAAAACCACGGCAUGAUAAAAGGAGAAAGAAAGGAAUAGGACAACGGAAGAAAGUGAAUUUGACAAAGGAAGAAAGUAAGGUCACGUACUGUAGAAAAUAGGAGAUGAAAAUUAGUAUGAAAAAGAGGAUGAUAGAGUGGUUGUCCAAAUCAUAGUGGUUUUUAUAAUUAUAUUUAAUUUAUACAAAUAUUAAAUUAAUAUAUUUUUAGUAUUUUAUACGAUUUAAAAAAGUUUUUUUGUUGAUUUAAAAAAUCUAUGAGUAUAAAAAAUUAUUUUAAUAUAUUUUUAAAUAGAAAAUAUUUUUAAAAGUAUGCAUCACAGUACCAAAUUAUAGUAUAAAUUAAAAGAAAAUAGGGUUUUAUGUUCAUUACCACUCACUUAGACUCAUUUAAUUGUGGACAAUAAUAGUGUCUCAUUUGAAAACUUUCAAUUUUAUACUUGAAAUUUUUUUCAUAAUUAAUCAUUUUUAAUUAAAAUUAGAGUCCAAUUGCAUAUUAUUUUUAUGGAGGAGAGUUGAAUUAAAAGACAAGGAAUUGAAGUAAAAAACUCAGCUAAAAUAGAUGGCAGCUAUACCAUUUAUUUACAAAAUUUAUUUUAGUUUAUCAUCCUUUUUAAGUUAUUAAAUAAUAAGUCCUAAUAAUUUUUAUAUAUUUUUUUGAAAAUAAUUUUAAAAAUAAUGUUAUCAUUAAUACCCCUUUUCUAUGAUUUGUUUUUUGGUCUUAUGUAGUCUUUCUUCAAUUAUUUUUAAUUUUGUUGCUUUUGUUUAAUUUCUUAAGAGGUUAGUAAUAUUUAUCUAUAAAUAUUUUUUAUAUAUUUCAGAUAGAUUAAGUAUUUAAUUUUUAUAAUAAUUUGAAUAUGUGUAGCCUUGCAUAGUUAUUUUUUUUCCUUUUAUGAUAUUAAAAAAAAAAUUAUGUGUGUUGAUUUCUAUUAUAGAUUGAUUUUAGUAAAUAAAUUCAUUAAAUAUAACCAGAUAAAUGAUCCAUGUUGCAAUAUUAAAUACUUUAUUUAUAUUUGUUUCUUAAUUUUUCCACUUGCAUUUUUAAUUAUUGGUAAUGACUUUAUUUUUUUCAUUUAAUUUACACAAUUGUUUGUGAUUUAUUUAAUUUGAUGCAUGUAUAAGUUUUUUAAUUUAUAUUUAGAAUUUUUUUAAUGUAAAAAAACACAUUGAGAAAUUCUUAUUCUUAUGAUUUUAGUUUGAUCCUUAUUCUUAUGAUUUUUUAUUUUCUUUCUAACCCUUUUAUAAAACAAAAAAUUGUUUAUAAUUUCAUCCUUCAUUUCAACAUAAUGAUAUAUUUUUUUCAUUAUAUAUAUUCUUGUUUGUUAUCAUUGCUUGUUUUCCUUAUAUAAUUCAUAUAAAACCAGCUUAUUUAAUCGGUCAAGACUAAAUAAUAAUAAUAAAAAAGAUAUACUCUGUCUUCCCAUUUCCUCUCCCUGGUGAAUUUUGGCGACCACCCACACAAUGAUAGCCUAAACAACCACCAGCCAUGCCACGUUUCAAGAUCCCAUCUCUCAAUCUCAAAACCAGAAACAACCCUUUCUCAUAACUCCAGGAAAGUGAAGAACUAAACCAUAGUGGCAAAAAUCUAAAAGGGUCUAAAUUAUCUCUGUUACUUUCCCUCAAUUUUCUAGACAAGCAAAAGGAGCUAAAUUUAUUCCCGACCAAAACGCCAAGAAUUUCAGUAGAGCAAAAGAAGAGAUUGUUACUUGACCAUAGACAAUUAGUCCGCACCCAAAGAAACUGAGUGAAUGAGAGAAAAAGACUAUUAGCUAGAAAACAAUCAACACAUCCAAGAAUUUUCUGUAUGGUUUCCAAGAAAAUGAAACGAAACAAGAAAAGCUAGAUCGUUCAUUCCUAUCAGAAAUUAAGGAUUAAUUGUAGCAGAUCUUAUAAAAGUAGAUUCCAUUGUCAAUUCCUCAGCAUUUUCCAAACAAAUCCAUGCUCCUCAUUUUUUACUGUCUUGAGGGUUUCUAUUCUCUUAUUACCAAUUUCAGUGAGUUUCAUAAUAAGCUGCUUAGAAAGAAGCAAUCUAACAGGAGGGUGGGGCUACUCUUGGCCAAUGAAAACAGCUUCACAUGCUAUACAGCAACGUGAAAAAAAGAUUCUCAGCCUGUUCUCUCUUUAAUGAACACCCUCUUGGAUUCUCUAGCACUAGCCAACAAGGUAUCUACUUGGAAUUACUUCCACCAAUCUCUGAAAAGAAUAUACAACCUAUUUAUUAUACUUAACUAAGAGUCUAUUUCAUAACCCUAUAUAUUUUUUAACUGAACUAGUUAUUUUUCUCAAAAACCCACCAAGUUAAUGGUUUUUCAUAAAUCUAAUUCAUAAUAAAACAAAUAAUGAGACUUGAUAAUAAUUCACUAAAUAAACAUCAAUUAUUCAUCAAAAUAAUCUGAGAAAUCUAAUAUUAAAGUUAGGGACCAAUAUGGAAUUUUAUCAUAUUUUUAGGGGUCAAAUUAUAAUUUUAUCAAAUUGGAGGACCAAACUAAAAAUAUCAUAAAUUCAUGACUAUACUGGAAUUCUGCCCAUAAUUCAUCCUAAAUUCUGCCCAGAAUCUCAAAUUAUGCUCCAAGGACCACUAUAGAAUUUUAUCAAAAUUCUAGGGUCAAAUUGUAAUUUCAUCAAAUUGGAGGACCAAAGUGAAAAUAUCAUAAAUUCAUAACUAUACUGGAAUUCCUCCCAUAAUUUAACUUUAAUUUUGUCCAGAAUCUCGGAUUAUGCUCCAGGGACCAAACUCUAAUUUUUCUAAAGUUCAGGGACUAAACUGUAGUUUUCACAAAUUGAGGGACCAAGCUGAAAUUUCAUAAUCUUUAACCUCAAACCCAGAAUUUACACAGAUAACCUACUGAUAUAUCAAGAUUUCUAACUUAAAUUCACCAUUUGAAUAAAUCAUAACUCAAAAUCAUCAUUUUUACCUAAAAUCUUUUAAAAUCAACUAAAUAACUCAUUACCCGUUACAAUCGACUUUCUGUAAUGUAAUUGUAAUUCCUAGCAUAAUGCAUAUUCGAGGGCAAGCACAACAACUCAAGAGCAAAGAAACUCGAUGAAAUAGGAAAAGAAAAAGAAUUGAAGGACUGAAAUAAAAUAAAACCAAAAAGAGGGAUGAAAAAAGAUUUUUGAUAAAUUUUCAGAAAAAAUCAAAAAUAGCAAAAAAACAAUGAAAAACCCAAAAAAUAUAUUUUUGAUGUAUUCGCAUCGUUUUUAGCAUUUUCAACGUCAUCUCAAAAGAAUUUAAAUUUUCAAAAGUAUUUUGAACGCGUUCAACUCUUAACGCGUAAAUUUUAUGAUCAUUGACUUUCCUUGUUGAGCCGACGUUGAUAUUGCCCAUUUUCAAAAAUACAAAAAAAAAAGAGAAAAUCAAAAUUACAAAAAAAAAGAGGAAAAGAAAGGGAAAGGAAAGUUGAGGGACUGGUUUGGAAACCCCAGAAUAUUUCUUCUAUAAAUACUAAGCUACAGUAAAAUUUGGAGGGGGGCGGAGAAAAUGAACUGAGGGGUGAAAAUUGAUUCACGAGGGAGAAAUUUACACAGAAAGAAAAUUGAUUCACGGGGGUGAUGAAAAAAUUGUGGAGAGAAAAAAAGAGUAACCCUACAAACCAUCUUCCCUGCGCAGCCGCCCCGGAGGAUAAAAAAAACUAAAGCUUCCACCUUUUCUUCUUGGCAAGCCGCCGGCCUGGCCUUUGAAAGAAAAACCUAAGCCAUCAUCCACCCUUCUCCUCCAAAAAGAAACAAAGAGACCCCCUCUGUUGCGAUGUCGCGGUCGCACAAAUUAAUUACCCUAGCUUAAACACAUAAAAUAAGAUAGUAUAGAGAAAGCAAGGGGUCGAUCCCACGAGGAAGUUUGAAGUCAGAUUUUUAUGUUAUACGUUAUGUAAUUGGGGGGGAUUGAUUUGCAAUGAUUUAAACUAUGGCAGAAAUUAAACUAGCAAACAAAAUCAAUUGAAAUUGAAAUAUAUCAAGAAAACAAACCUUGGUUGCAAGUACACAUCCACCAACGGAAAUUAGAACCGAUCCUUGAAACGAAACUCCAGUUUAUAUUAUGAAUUCUAUCUUUUCUUAAUAUUGGUUAAUUAACGGAUCCGCCGUAUAACUAGCCCUAACCAACAAACAAUCACAGUGUUCGCACUAAUGAUUUAAUCCAAUGGCAACCUUAAGAUCCAGAUAAAUUCAUUAAUCUUAACAACCAAGUUGUCAAUUUGUGUUGCUAUGAUCGAAUGUUCUCCCUAAGUUUAAUAACGUAGUUCCGCUACAAUUAUCAAGCUUAGUUGCUUCGCAAGUUUAUAUACCACAACUCCGGUUUUGAUAUCAAACUUAGCAAUAGAUUGUUCACAAUAAUAACUUAGAGUCCGCUCUAGCAAUUAAGAUAAACAAUCAUAGGAAAUAUGCAUAGGAAAACAAACAUACUCAUUCAUAACAUAAACUGAAAAUAAAAGGAAGAAUAAAUCUCACGGUUCUUGAAAUCCGAAGGUUUGUUGUGUCCUUGCAACCAAGAAAACGAGCUUAGCCUUGCAUAUCUAAUGAACAACUACUCCUAAAGAUGAAAGAAUACAUAAUUUCUGAUUUGUAGAGAGGAGAGUUUGUGUUUCCUCCCUCUUCUUGCUUCUUUCCUCUCUUUUUUUUACCUCCUUCUACUCACCCUCUAUUUAUACACAAAUUGUAAGUAAGAAAAUCAAAGUUCAAGUGUGAACAUCAAUAGAUGGUGGUAGUGUGAAGGCGGCUGGUGGCUGUGGCUGGUGGCUGCUGGCUGCUGAGGUUGGUGGCUGCCAUGAGGUUGGUGGCUGCCAUGAGGUUGGUGGCUGCCUUCCUUGACCUUCUAGAAUAUUUACUAGAGGAGCUAAAUUGCUGGUCGGUUUGGAUGCUUCUAGAUGAAAUUUGAUUCGUUUCUUCACGCAACCUGCUUGCUGGCAGAAUUCAGCUGUCAUCUUUGAAAAAUCAUAUAUCCCUCAUAUGACAUCGUUUUUGGCUGAAAUUUGGAGCGUUUAUAGAUCUUUGAGUAAGGAAUCCAACAAAAUUGAGUUUGCAUCAAUUGGACUUCUGAAGCUCCAGAUAUUGAAUUUUGAAUGGGCAAAGGUCAACAUUGGCAGACUGCGAGAUUUGACUUUGAAGGAUGUGAUUUCCAUGAUCUUUCUCUUUUUAUUUUUCUUGCAUUACAUUUCCAAAAAGGUAUGGAUGUUAGCUUUUUAAUGCCACUGGAAUCACUUCAUUUCGAUCUCUGGAACUCACGCUCUGCACAAAAUACCGACUGAACGUCAAAUCUGCCAAUUACCUCCAAUUUACUCCUUUUUGCAUCUUUCAUCCAAAAAUGCCUUCAAAACAUAAAACAAAGAAUAUCAAGGCAUUUUAUAUAAAUAACAUAUGCAAAACACUAGUUAAAUGCGGGUGAAACUAUCGAAUAAUAUGGUUACAUCAAAUACCCCCACACUUAGCUCUUGCUCGUCCUCGAGAAAGGAUAAAUAAAAUUAAAUUGAAAAUAACUAUGAUCAAUUUCUUAAUCUCCCAUCAAUGUCUAAGAGUACAAGCAUUAUAAACAAGAAUACAAUCAUGAAGGAUAAAUAAUAUAAUUCUCAUGAAUUUAUUUACAUGCAAACUUCAAAACUCAAUCAAUCGUCUGGAUUUAAAUGAAAUCUAUGCCAUGCCAAAGUGAUAGGUCCUCUCAUUGAUAUACACUCCAACACUCAUGUGUUUAGGGUUUAUGUGUUUAAAUCUCUCAAAUUCAAUCAAAGAGUAUGUUCUACCAUAAGCUUGCUUUUCAAUCUCAUCUCCAUUAGCAACUUAUUACAAGUAUUACAUGAAUCAAAAGGUCUUAUUUUCCGGUUGUAAUGGGGCUGAGGUUAAGGUGAGGUAAAAGAAAGUAAAAGGAAAGGUUCAAACCAAUGAAAGUAGAGCAUUUUGAAAAAUGAUACUUCAAACAAGAUAUUCCAUCAAAGCUCAUAAAUUUUUCAUCUUUAAUCACAAAUGCUUAACUCCUUUUGAUUUCAAGCUCUUUCAACAUAAAACCUUAAGAACAUAAAGGAAUACUUUUUUUUUUUUUCUUUUUUUCUUUUUUUUUUGGCAACUUUGCCCAUUUUUUCAUCAAGCAUCACUUCUUUCUUUUCAUAUAAUUUCCAACCAUAAUUCCAUUAAAUAUUACAAGUAUAUGCUCUACUAAUCCUUGGCCAGGGGAAAAGAAAAACAUAUAUAAAGUUAAGGCUUAUACAUGGAUAAAGCAAAGAAAAGAUAAACAAGCUCAAAACGGGCUCACUAAGGAUAAUAUGCUUUAGGUUGGCUUUUUGGCUUGAGGGGUUAAAAUUCCUAAUCCCUUUAUCAUCUUCAUGUAUAUUUGUAAUGGGAUAUAAUCUCAAUAAGAUAUGAAGCAAGUUCUAGAGAUACUUAUCAUUGAAAGAAUGCACACUCAAAGAAUAUAAUGUUGAAGGCUCAAAAGCUUGCAUUGGUAUAACACUAUAAAGUCAACAUGGCAUAUUCUCAAAGUCAAUCCCUAAACCAAUUAAACCUUAAAAUUUGCAUGCAUACUCCUUCAUUUGAUUUAUAUCUUCAUCUAUCUCAAUUAAUUCUCAUAUAUAAUACUGAUAUUCUCAAAAACCAAUAGGAGUUAAAAAGAUCAAACAUAAUGUUUUUUUUUUUUUUUAAAGAACAACAAAGAAAAUGAAAAUAAGAAAACCAAAAUUCUCCCAAUACCCCCACACUUAAAACACAACAUUGUCCUCAAUGUUGAAAUAAAAGCAAAGGAACAUAAGAGAAUGACAAAGAUAAAGUAAAAUACGAAAAAUAAAAGAUAAGGAAAAAGAAAGCAAAUCUGAUUUUUUUUUCUUUUUGUGCUGGGUUGCCUCCCAGUAAGCGCUUUUGUUUUAUGUCAUUGGCUCGACAUAUUGCAUGCUCAUUCUUCAUAGAUUGGUUCAGCUAACUCUGCAGAAGCGGUGAGUUCUGCCGUCCAACCUUCAUAGAAAGGUUUCAAACGAUGCCCAUUGACUUUGAGUAUGUUGUUAGUUUCUAAACUUGUAAUUUCAACUGCACCAUAAGGAAAAACAUUAGAAACAACAAAUGGUCCAAUCCAAUGAGAGCAUAACUUUCCAGGAAAAAGUUUCAAACGCGAAUGAUAAAGAAGGACUUUGUCUCCAACAUGAAACUCCUUUCUUGUAAGCAUUCGGUCAUGAAGAUUCUUAGUCUUUUCUUUGUAAAUCCUUGCAUUCUCGUAAGCAUCAUUUUGAAUCUCUUCCACCGUAAUUCCAAUCUUUUUGGGCACCAAAAGGAUAGGCGCCACCCAUUCACUGUUCGUGAUGGGGUAAAUGACACCUGCAUCAUGAAGGAUAAUUUGCAAAGCUUGCAAAUCCAAUGCUGAUUCAUGCAUGUUUUGGGGAACACAUAUAUGCCUUUCCAUCUCUUCUAUCUUGGUAAAAGCAUAGUCAUUGCUCAAAGCUAUGCUUAAUCCAUCUUCGCAAUCAAAAUUAAAAACUUGCUGCACACACUUAUCAACUUGGUCAUAACAUGUGAUAGAAUAAACAUUGCUAUAAGGAUAUGUCAUUGCAUCAUGAAAAUUAAAUUCAAUUUUUUCAUCUCGUACCUCCAUAGACAAGGUAUCCUUACCACAAUCAAUCUUUGUGUUGGCAGUUUUCAAGAAUGGUCUCCCAAACAAUAUAGGAGUGCUGGUUGAUGAAUCACAAGAAUCAUGUUCCAUAUCAAGAAUAUAAAAGUCACAUGGAAUAACCAAACUAUCAAUCUUGACUAGGACAUCUUCUAUCACACCAAUUGGGUAAACAAAACUACGAUCCGCAAGUUGUAUUACAAUACUAGUUUUAUUCAAAGGCUCUAGACUAAGAGAAUCAUAAACAUGUUUAGGCAUAACACUAAUGGAUGCACCUAAAUCGCAUAAAGCACUUUUAAAACUAGAAUUACCAAUAACACAUGGGAUAGUAAACGCACCUGGGUCUUUUUGUUUCAAAGGCAGAUUCUUGACCUUUCAGUUUGAAAGCUCUCUUGGUAGUACACAACUCCUUCAACAAUUUUGCAUACUUGGGAAUUUGCUUGAUAGCAUCAAGCAAAUGAAUGUUCAGUUCCACUUUGUUGAAAACUUCUAAAAUCUCUUUUUCUUUGUCUUCUUUCUUUGACCUAGAAGAACUCACAGGAAAGGGUGGAAUUGUUUUAAAACUAGAAUUCAUUGAGUGAGGAGUUACCUUUGGAGUGUUGGUCGAUGUUUCAGUUUGGAAAGGAGAAGGAUGAUGUAUCUUCUUUGUACUCAAUUCAGUUUCUAUCUCUUCUUCUUCCUCCAUCUCAAUUUGUUUUGACCUUUUCUCUUCAAUUUCUUUCCCACUUCGCAACAUGAUCGCACUAACAUGCUCUAUUUGAUUCCAUGCUUGGGAGGGCAAUUUUCCAUUCAUUUGUGCUUCCAAUUUCCCUACACUUGAAGCUACUUGCCCCAUUUGCUUUUCCAAGUUGUGAAUACUUGACCUUGUUUCCUGUUGAAAAGAUAUGACAUUUUGUUGCAAGGUAACAGUAUUAGAAGCCAAAGUUUUCAUCAUCUCACGAAGAUCAUCAUUGGAUGACGACCCCAUAACAUUGGAGUUUGUGAAUGGAGGGGGUUGUCUUGCAAUGAACAACUACUCCUAAAGAUGAAAGAAUACAUAAUUUCUGAUUUGUAGAGAGGAGAGUUUGUGUUUCCUCCCUCUUCUUGCUUCUUUCCUCUCUUUUUUUUACCUCCUUCUACUCACCCUCUAUUUAUACACAAAUUGUAAGUAAGAAAAUCAAAGUUCAAGUGUGAACAUCAAUAGAUGGUGGUAGUGUGAAGGCUGGUGGCUGGUGGCUGGUGGCUGGUGGCUGCUGGCUGCCAUGAGGUUGGUGGCUGCCUUGAGGUUGGUGGCUGCCAUGAGGUUGGUGGCUGCCUUCCUUGACCUUCUAGAAUAUUUACUAGAGGAGCUAAAUUGCUGGUCGGUUUGGAUGCUUCUAGAUGAAAUUUGGAUUCGUUUCUUCACGCAACCUGCUUGCUGGCAGAAUUCAGCUGUCAUCUUUGAAAAAUCAUAUAUCCCUCAUAUGACAUCGUUUUUGGCUGAACUUUGGAGCGUUUAUAGAUCGUUGAGUAAGGAAUCCAACAAAAUUGAGUUUGCAUCAAUUGGACUUCUGAAGCUCCAGAUAUUGAAUUUUGAAUGGGCAAAGGUCAACAUUGACAGACUACGAGAUUUGACUUUGAAGGAUGUGAUUUCCAUGAUCUUUCUCUUUUUAUUUUUCUUGCAUUACAUUUCCAGAAAGGUAUGGAUGUUAGCUUUUUAAUUCCACUAGAAUCACUUCAUUUCGAUCUCUGGAACUCACGCUCUGCACAAAAUACCGACUGAACGUCAAAUCUGCCAAUUACCUCCAAUUUACUCCUUUUUGCAUCUUUCAUCCAAAAAUGCCUUCAAAACAUAAAACAAAGAAUAUCAAGGCAUUUUAUAUAAAUAAAAUAUGCAAAACACUAGUUAAAUGCGGGUGAAACUAUCGAAUAAUAUGGUUACAUCACCCUCCAUUUUUGAUCUUCUUCUUCUUGAGUCCGCCUCCCACAGCCCCUCUCUCGGCUGCUCACUUCCCCUCCUUGAAAAACAGAGUCGGCCGCCCCUUUGAAAAAUACAAGAGCCCUAUCUUCUCCCCAUUUUCCUAGAGACAACCGGCCGCCCUCAUCCAAAGAAAUUAGAGGGAGACCCUGGCCUUGAGGUUUUUGAAUCGGGAGCUUCUUCUCCCAAACUAAGGCCAGCCACACGUCCCUCCCCCCGGCCAUUUUCGUUUCUCUUCUCCCCAACAAAGCCAGCCGAAUAGACGCCAACAGUAGCGGCGCCAUCUUCACCAGUGAGCCAGCAAUCAACACACGGCAGCGCCGGGGCAACACUCUCUUCUUCAUCCUCUGCAACCAACCACAACAGCGCUGCCAUCACUGGAGACCCAGCAUCUUACAGACCUCGUCUGUUACCUCACUGUCGGCCACGACAUCCCUCUCCCUGUGCAGCGGCGUCUCCUUCCCCCAUCACAGCAACGUCGCCGCUCCUCUCAACGCUGUUUUCUCCACAACAGAUCUGAAGAAGGAGAAGAAAAAACAGAUCCGUGAAAAAAGUAAAGAAAAAUUAAAAUCGACUGGAUGUGGUGUUUGUUUGGCUUUGUAGGUGACGCUGUUCUCACCGCCGACAAGGAAGGGAAGAGGGGAGGAGGUCGUUGCAGACCCCCCUGUUUCCGGGUUGUUUUCACGGCGGCGCGUGGACCCACGCGCUGCCAGUGGCGGUGGUGCGUGAGAUCCACGCGCCGCCACUGUCCCUACUGAUCCAAAAGUCUUCCCAGCAUUUCUAGAUUUUGUUUUGGGGCUAUUUUGUAAUUUUUGGUUUUUGUUUAAUGUAAAUUUUUGGUUUUUGUUUAAUGUAAUUUUUGUAACAUGUAAAUGUUGCAUGCGGGUGUAAUAAAAAGAAAUAAUAAAAAGAGAUGUGUGUGCGUGUGUUAUUGUAUUUUCAUUUAUGUUAUUGAAUUAUAAAAAUAAAAAAUACAAAAAAGAAUUAAGUAUUUAAUUUAAAUAUGAUUAAAUAUCUUAAGGAUAAAUAAAAUCAUGUUAUAUUUUCCAUGAAAAUGUAAGAACAUGUUUCUACAUAUAUUCUGGGAUUUAAUAACUGAUUUAUUCAAGCCUUAGAAUUUGAUUAAUAUUUUAAAUUUUCAAAUCACAUCAAACCACAAAGCAGCUUACCUCAGGUAGGGUGUGCUAGGGGUGCUAAUACCUUCCCUAGCCACAAUCAGUCCCUUACCCACAAAUCUCUGACCACGACCAGUAAAUCUGGGUUUCCUAGUAACCCUCAAUCCAAUACUAGGUGGCGACUCCCAAGACCCCUAAUAAAGCAAAGAAACGAAAAAUCGCCAAAGUUGAAUCGCCGCGUGGAUUUUGACGUGCGACAGAAUGGCGACUCCACUGAGGACAGGUAUUGUUUUCAAACUUUAUUGGACUAAGCUUUGUGUUUUUGAUGUGUUUAAAUUUUUUACCUUUUGUCUUGUUUUAUUUUUGUUUUGUUCAUGCAUUGUAUAGAUUUCUAUCAUACAUCACAUGUUUUAAUUUUUGAAAGCACACACAAGCUUUAGGUUAGGUGGGGGACUAACAGCUUGCCUUAUGCCUUGAGUCAAGGUUUAAGUUUGUGUAAACCCCAGCUCUUCGUUGAGUGCUUAGACUGGUAAAUAUUAGCACACGUGUUGACCAUUACCUACUGGGCCCCUAUAUUGCCUUUACGAGGGUGAUCACUAGGACAACAGGAGACCCUUUUUAGAGACCAAGUAGCAAACUACCCUUUGUCUCACGUAAAAAGAAUAGAACCUGCCUUUAGGAUGAUUGCUCCGUAAAUAUUUGUUUUGCAUCUGAGCAAGCCCUUCUUGAAGCAUCUUGAAUUCAGGACUUAUGGGGGAUAAAAUGGUCAUCACUCAAGAAAUUUCUAUUGUAGAGUUUGAUCAAGAAUAAAAAUUCUUGUUUCAUUAUGCAAGAGUUAUGACCAUAUGUCACCCCUCGAAGGGUGAGUUCAUCAUAUAGAUUACAUGUUCAUACAUUUAUCAUGCAUGUGUCGGGAUGAAAAAUAGGUUCCCCUACCCGAGGUCUACUACACUGGACUGAAAGAGAUUGGGAAAUGAAGAAAGGGGUCAAAGAGAGGCUCAUUGUCAAAAGAAAGUUGAGAGCAUCAAAGAUAAAGUAGCUAGACUCAGAUUUGCCCGAACAAGUGUAAAACAUCAAAUGGAAAGGGAAUGUCUGCACAGUCUUCUGUGGGAAUACAACUUGUCUACAUCCCAUUGAAGUUGCACCUCUCCUUUUCAGUCAUGAACAACGGCAACAAUGCUUUCAGUCAUCAAUUAAUGACCAUCUUUGUUCAUGUGGUAGUGCUCUUUCUGUAGAGAUUUGUUUGUGGAUCUGCCAGUGGGGAAUGCAAGAGGGGAUGUAGUAGUUUCAUAUGCUAUGAAACUUUCCCCCGUCAAUUUCAGCACCGAAACACAGAAGUAGGUUGAAAGACAGACCUAGGAUGAAAAGCAAGGAGAAGAUUGAAACUUCAACAGAGCAGAACUCCCUCUACAUGUGUUUGUUUGCUACACCGUCAAUGAGGAAUCAAAGAUGAGACAGAGGAGCUUUUGAUUCAUCAGGCUCUCCUACAAUAGAGACAGCGCAUGAUUCCACACGUCGGCAGUGGCGAUGCUGCCAGUUUCUAGGCGCUGCCAAGAUUACCAAGUCGUUGGAAAGUUUUCUAAUAAUCCUCAAACAACCACAACAACAUUGGAAGAUUGACACGAUGUUGAGAGGAUUGCUGAAAUAAUUGAACAUGCUGGGAAAGAUUGAGGGUUUUACCGUGGAUUCCAGAACUGUGAAGAGAGUUGAAUCAGAAGAUGACUCUCAGUUGAGAAACCUCAGUUAUUUUGCUUAGUCAGGUCUUGCCAUAGCAUCAACUGCUCAAGUGUCUCUGCUAAGAUUGACAUCCUUCUGCCACCCAAGUUGACCUACCAACAUUUGUCAGAUUCCAUACUUGUUGCCCCAACUUCGAUAAAUUGCAUCCAACCACCGUGGUAUAAUUCAGACGAGAUGUGUUGUUAUGGUGGGGUCCUCGACCAUUUUAGUUGAACAGAUGCAAGAGUUUCAAUAAUCGAGCCGAGUUUGUGAAAGAUGAUGUCACUGAUUAUUUUUGUCACCAGAACAUCCUCAGAAUGACAAAUGAUCAGAAUUGCUUGGCAAAACAUAGAUAUCGCCAGAGUAGCUGAUCCAAGAAGGAGUUAAACUGUCAAUCAUCUUUGUUAUGGAUUUUUGCCAUGUUGCAUUUUUGUUCUGGGGUCACAUCUCAUCCUUGAACGAAGCAUGUCUUUCUUUUGUCUUAUUGUUGUUUUGAAAUCAAGAGAUACUUUUUUCAAUGCGUGUUUUGACAAAAUUUGUGAUUGAACUCCAACAUGCAAAAUUAAGGCUAGUGAAUCCUUAAAGAUCAAAAGUGCUUUGAUUACAAAAAUGACUCGAUGCUUGAAGAUGACAUGAGGUGACCAAACAAUUUUGAACUCAUACCUCCUGAAACUGAACCACCCAUUAUGUAGCUAUGUUUUAACAGUAUGCAUAAUGACAUGUAGUGGAUUCGGUAGCUAUGGACUCGUGAAUCAUUGACUCUUACAAGUCCAAAUCAUUACACUGGAUGAGGUCAAAAUUUAUCGGUUUUAACUGACCUUGCUUGAAAUGAGAAAAGGCCAUCUUUGUUAUCCCUUCACGUUUCUUGAAAUAUUAUCCCUUGCAGUUCUAUUUUGAGCCUGGUGACAUAUUUUCUUUCAAAAAGAAACCCUGACUAGGAUCACACCCCACACUGGGGGCAAAUGAGAAAUAUUUUGGAGACAAUGAUAAAAUCAAUGGAUCAAAGAAAGGCUUAGAACAAAAGUCCAAUGACUGAGAAAGGGCUAGAAGAAAAAACCUUAGAUUGAGGGCCAUCCAAGAAAAACUUUGAGGAAGGCUAUGAAAAAAAAAAAAAAAAAAUGAAAAUGAAAGAGAAUGCCUAUCAAUUCUAAGAGGGGCAAAAGAUGUUUCAAUUGAAGAAAGACACAGCAAAUGCCAAAAUUCAACAAAAAAAACCAAGUUUCAUGUCUUUUGGUGUGUCUAGGAUAAAGCCUCUAAUGUCUUCAGAAAAAUUAGAUUGGUUAUUCAUCAAAGAAAAAGUUGGAUUUGCAUUAUGACCUAUGUUAAGAGAAUUCUGAUAUUUGAAUUUAACAAGGUUAUAUGUCACUUUCUCUACAAUGACAACAAGAGAAAGAGAGUUGAUGAAUAGUUGAUGUUGAUCCUAGGUCUUUGAAACCCUCAAACACCUUUUGAGCCUGUGAAUUUUUUUUUCAUAGCCAUGAACCAUAGCCUGCAUUACGUGCUUUAAAAGCCCUUUUUGAUCAAGUAAGCAAUCUGAACCGAUAAAUGGCGAUCUCAAAACUUGAAGAGCUUUCCAUAAGAGUCGUGGCUUCAUAGAUUAAGCUACUGUUAUUAUGCAUGCUGAUAAAAUUGAUGCUAAAAAAGAAAACAAUCUUUCUUGAUGAAUCCUCAAGUUUUGACUUGAGCCUUUUGUUUUUUAAAUUCACAGAAGGUCACCUCAUCGCAGACCAUCAAAAGAUAUACCCAAGAUCAAAGAUUAAAACUGACACAAAGAACCAUGAAAAAAGUCAUUUUAAUCUCACAAUGGGUCAUUUCUGUUUUCAAAAUACAAGACAAUCAAAGGACUGCAUUAAAUAGUGUGUGUUGGGUCUUUGACCAAAGAAGCUUGAUUUAUGAAAAUACUUUCAAAAACAGACAUCUCUUUGAUUUCAUUUCAACAAUUAGACUUGAAUAGACAUGAUCGUUGAAAUAUGAGAUUUGAUUCCAGAACAAGAAAGAUUUUCAAACAAGAACAUCGAUUGAGUUUGCAAAAUCCUUGACAAAAAUGACAUCAACAUUUCUCGACACUCCUUGAAACGUUGACCACCUGGGGGCAAUACAGCAGACCCUAAGAAGGGAAACAAACAAUGUUCAGAUCGACUGGGGGCAAUUUUGUUCAAAGACAAUCUGUGAUUUAGUGAACUUCAGCAGCAAUUGAUGAGAAACGCUGCACUUGAAGGGCAUUUAAUUAUCAUCAGCUUGGGUUAUCCUCUGAAACAUGGUUAUGACUCCUGACAGAUGUUAUCACGUGAGUGCAUUUGAAUGAACAUCGAACGAAUGCAUACCACCAAGACUGACUGUGGUACCAUCUGUUUUGAAACCCAAAUGUGCACUUCACCGCAUGAAUAUGGGUAAUGAACAUUAUUGGUAAUGCCAAAUCAUUUCUUUGCAUAAGCUAAUUUGACAAGCUGAGAAAUCCAUGAGAAAGUACAUUAAGCUUACAACGAUGAGCCUUUCCCUGCAAAGUAUGAGAUGCAUGUCGGAAUGACGUGGCAGUUCCAUGAUUAUGGAUGACCAUAUAUACUUGAAUGGUGUUUCAACUGGAGGCAAGUUCAUGACUAAUUGGCAAUCUUGAUGGGUGUUGGCAUGAUGCACACAAUCAAUCAAAGGAUAAUCCUCGAAAGAAUCUAGGAGAGAAAAUCCUUCAUAAUGAAUCAAGCAACACCACACUUGGGGGCAUUGUCAAGCUUGAUGAAUGACGAGAGCAGUUACCGUCGAAGACAGCCUAAGAUAGGCACUGCAUUUACAGCUAAGUGACGGCUAUCACAUGAAUGAGCCAAUGCAUGGAAAGAACAAAGAAUGCUUUGUAAUGCAAACAAAGGCACCAUAUGACGAUGGAGCAUCAAGGAGGGGGGACCUAUAUUUCAAAUCAGGUAAGGAUGCAUGCAUAUCAUCUAACCUAAAAAAAAAAAACAAAUUGCACAGAUUGUUGAUUUGUUACAGGAAGAUCCUCAAUGAAGUCCAGCAAAAUUGUGGACAGAAUGAUCCUUAUUUUUAUAAUUGUUAUUUGUUUUUUCCUUAUCAUUUUUUAAUUAAAAUUUUUUUUUUAUUAAAUUUGAUCCUCAUUCUUUUGAUUGCUACUUAUUUUAUUUGAAAUAAUUGAUGAAAUGUUAAUUAUUAUUAUUUUAAUUUCAUUAUAUUUUAAUUUUUUUUAUCUGUUAGAUUUGAUCUCUAUUAUUUUGAUUAUUAUUUAUUUUUUUGAGAUAAUUUAUUAAAUUAUAUUUUUUUCAAUUUCAUUCGCAUUCAACUUUUUAAUUUGUUAGAUUUGUUUCUUAUUAUAUUAAUAAAUUUUUAAAAAAUAAAACAAUAAUAGACUAUUUUUUCAUUUUAUUUUUCAUAACAUAACUAAAUACUGAAAAAUAUUUUUCAAUUUACUUUUCAUUAAACUAUUAGUUAUUAUAAAAUAAUUUAUUUUUCUUGAAUUUCUUUCUUACUACUUUUUAAAAGAAAAAAAAUUACUUUUUAGUAAAUAAACACGGGGCUAAAUAAAGUUAGAUAAUCAUGAGAAAAGUAAAUUCUGCUCACCUUGACUAAGAGAUAGUACUUGUUCUUUAGACAACCGACAGUUUUUUUCUAGAACAAAAUUAGUUUUUUUACCAAUGGUAAGACGUUAAAAGAACAUUCAUGGGCAUGAUUGAGAGGGUACUUUUCAAGGGACCCGACAUUUUUUCAUUAUACAUCAGAUGAUGCAGCUUCUUUUGUAUUUUUGUUACCAAAUUAUUUGGAAAAUUGACAUAUUUACCUUAACAAUAAUUCAAUCUUACUUGAUCUCCAUCAUUUUAAAUUUCCAACAUCAUCCAAUUAAACUUUUUUUUUGGCUCAAACUAUAAUUUAAUAAUAAAAAAUUAUAAUUUUCAAUAUGAUUAUUAAAUCAAAAUCAAAAUUCUUUGAAUUAUUCUAUAAGUUCAGUUGUAUAAAAAAACUCAAUUAACUUUGACUAACUGAGCUCUAAAAUAUUUUUAAAUUAAACUUUGAAAAUAUGAAUUGAGUUAAUUUUGUUAUUUAUUUUAAUUUUUCUAAAUUUAAAAGUAUUGAUUGUUCCAAUAUUUACUCUCUCUCUUUUUUUUAUCGUGUUCAAGAGUUGAAAUCUUAAUAUGUUUGUUUGUCAAUAUAAAAAAUAUAUUUUUAGAACAAGUGUGUAUUUUGUAAGGCAGUACAUAUUUUUUUAAUUAAAAUUUUUUAAAAUAAAAUUUUUUAUUAGUAUAUCAAAACCAUCAAAAAAUACCUAAAAAUAUUAAUUUUAUACUAUUUUAGGUGGAAAAGAAAUUUAAAAAGCACUUUAAAAAAUAUACUAAACUACAAAAACAAACAUUUUCUAUUUAAUUUAUAAAUAAAUAUAUUUCUUAUAUUAUUAUCACUUAUUUAAAUUUUACAAAAAAUUAUAAGAAAAUUAUUCCUCAUCAAUACAUCAAUUCAAGUAUGAACACCACAUUUAAGACUAGUCAAUAUUUUUUUAUAUAUAAAUAAAAAAAAGAUAGUUACUCCCUCCACUAGUUAGGCUGGUUACUAUAUAAUGAAUUGUAUCUUUUGGUAAGAUGUGUCCAGUGAACAACUUGUAUUGGGAAAACCUAAAUGAAACACUACUUUUUCCGAUAGCUAAGAAAUAUGGUGGAUGUGAUAUUAUCAUCACAAGGGUAGCAUGUGAGUCUACUCACCAAGGUAUUGCUCCGAGUUUAUUCGUAAAAUUUAAUUAAAGAAGGAUAUUUAUGAAAAUUAAUUAAAAAAAUCGAAUGUACAACAAAAAUAUCUUAUUAUGUCUAAUAAUAUAUUAGAAGAAAUAAACCAGCAAAAAAAAUAAAAAUGUGUUUGAUCAUAAAGAGGUGGAGAUGAAAAUAUAAAUUAAAUUUCUAUACAAUAAUUUUACAGUUAAUUUUUAUUAUUUCAAAAAAAAAUAAAAAAUAAAAGUAAUGGUUGAUUAUUGUAUUUGAACAAAAAAAUAAAAAAUAAAAACAAAAAUAUAUUUCGUUGAAGAAAAGCAUAAUUUAAUCAUAAUUUUUAAAAAUAGCCUUCUAACCUUAUGUUCAAAAUAUUCUUAAAUGAUUUAAGAAUUAAAUUUUUAAAUAGAUGGUGUAUUUAAAAAACUAAUAAUUAUAUAUAUUUUUAAAAAUAUAUCUGUAAGUCAUAAUUAUAAAACCUGAGUAAUCCGGUAAACAAUUUGAAAUCUCACGAGAACUAAACUAGUUUAGAUUGAGAAAAUAAUAACAAUAAUAAUAAAAUUAACUUAGUAAAAAAUCUGGGUUUGUGCAAUAAUUUACCAACUCUUCACCCGUUAAUAUCUUUUUUUAAAAAAAAAACAAUGAAGUUUUAAUUUUAAAAUAUUAUAUUUUAACCUAGAUUUACCCUUCAUAUCCAUAACAUCGAUCAAUCCCUUGUGUCGGGUUUUAUAAGUAUACUUUGAAGUUAAGGUUAAAGAAAAUAAAAACAAAAUUGUAAAAAGAAAUUGUUUUCUUAAAUUAAUUUUCAAACCUCUCGCUCUCAUGUUCUCAUAUUUCGACAACAUGGAAAGCACAGAGAUUUCUACGCCUAUUACUACAACUCUUUCAAACGUACCUUAGCAACCGGAACUCCUGUCUCUCCUCUUCACUUUUCGCUUCUCGUACGUUUCUCUCGUUCUCUCCCUCCAAUUUUUUGACAAUUCUUUUCUCUCUCUUUUUUAAAAUCUUUAAUUAAUUUUUGUAUUUAGUUCUCUUUAUCUUUCUUACGUUUUCUUGAUCAUCUUGUGGUGGGUUCUUUUCAUUUCUCUCGUGACUGCAUGUCCUUAAAUUUCAAGCCUUUUCUUCCCUUUUAAUUGUAUAUUUGUGUAUAGUAUAUAUAGACCCUUUUGUGUUCUUGGGAGGUUUGUGAUUGUUAUUGCUGUUUCCAGGUGCUGUUUUGAUGUUAAAAAGUGUUUUUGUUUUAGUAAAUUGCUGCUUUCAAAUAUUUGAGCUAUUUUUGACUGACUGGCCCUCUUUUUCCCCAAGAUCCAAAUGGACCAGUAAAAAGUAGGAAAUAAUUUCAAACUCCGUUUUUCAUGUAGAAAAAUAGGAAUAAUAUGCAAAAGGACUCGAUGGGAUCUCUGCUUUAGAACAUUUCAAGCUGUCAAGCCUGUUAUAGGUAUCUAAGUUCAAUGAAGGUAACAUUUCAAGCUGUCAAGCUUGUUAUAGGUAUCCAAGUUCUAUGAAAGUGAGGUAAGCCUUUAAAAUGGCUUCAGAUGUAUCUACUUGUUAAUGCUUGUGAUAUACUGUGUUCUUUAGUGUGGUUAUAAAUAAUGUAUGAGCAAGGUGUCUUGAAGCCUCGUAUUGUGAUUACAUGCCCAAACUAGCUAGUCGAAUAAAUGAAGGGACAAUAGAGUUUCCGAGGUGAUUAUUUUUUCUUUUUGGAAAAUUGAUUUUUCUUAGUUAUUAUCUUUUUUUUCUAUUUAUUUUAAAAUAUUAUGUUUAACAAUUUUAUUUUUUAUUUUGUUUAUGAAUUUUAUUGCUUUUUAUUAUUAUUAUUAUUUAUUUUCAAUGUUUUUAGUUUGUUUAGGUGUUUUUUUAGUUUAUUUAAGGAGUUGUAAAUCUCUUACAAAGGAAACUACUUGACAUGGUAAAUUAUUAAGAAAUAAAAUUUUGAAUUCUGGUUUUUGGUGUGAUGAUCCUUUUUAGUAGAAUUGUGUUGUUUGUUUUUGCUAUUUUUUUGUAUUAUUUCUGUUUAUAUUAGUUGGUAUCAGAACCUAACAAUCUUUGAUUAUUGUUUGCUUGUUGUAUGCUGCAAAACAACCAUAGCUGGAAAAAAUAAUAAAACUAAACAUGUUCAAGGAGAGGAUGAAGAGGUUUCCUCUUUAGAGAAAAAGGUUCAUGAGCUAGAAAUUGAGGAUAUACAAAGGUAGAUCGCAAAGCUUACGUGACAAUUGAAAUAAAACACCCAACAAGAAUAGGAGGAGAGUAAUUGUGAACCCUGGCUAAUCUAGAGGAGGCAACCUUUUAAUUGGGCAGCACUUCAUGGAGAUUUUGAUUUUUAAAUUAAACUUUCUAAUUUUGUAGGAACUUUACAAGUGGAAGAGUUAUCGUUUAGUUGAAUGAAGUAUAAGGGAUUUUCAAGUGCAUAAAAGUUUAAGAGCAGAUAAGGGUGAAGCUUAUUGGUAUUAGAUUAAAAGGGCGAGCUUAUGCUUGGUGGAAGCAAUUAAAGAGAAAGAUAAAGGAACAUUUUUUUUCUGUUUGGAUACAUUUAAACUUUUUACCAAUGACUUCAUACAUUGGGAUGGGAGAACUAUUGCUAAGUACAUUGAAAACUCUACCAACCGGUGGCUAAGAAUGAUUUUUCAGAAAGAGUAGUUGAUUGCUAGGUAUUUAAAGUAGAUUAUGAUAGUUCAUGCAAGAUGUAUUGUGUUUGCAUUCUUUAUAAAUAGUUUUGUAAGCCUAUAAGAGAGCUUUGAUUAUGGAUAAACAAUAGGUUAUUAGGGUAAUUAACAAAGGUGGCUUUUGAUUUGACCAAAAUAAUAAGGAGGUGUGCGCUAACAAAAAAAAAUAUCAUUCAUUUAGCCCGAAUCGAUAACUAAAUAUAUCACAAGUUAAAGUUCAAGUUCUAGAUAUGAUUUUAAAUUUUAGUGUUUUAGAUAUGAUGAAUUAGGACAUUGAAUUUAUAAGUGCCAUAAACCAAAGAGUCGUAAGUGUAAACAUUUGUAAGUAAAAUAGCAUAAUGAGAAGAGAAGUGAUCCUAUUUAUGAUGAUUAAUAUGGUAGUGAGGAGGUUUUCUAAGAUAAUGAUGGUGCUACCUCAAUUAUCCAAAAGAGUUUGCUUAUUCUUAAAAGUGAUUCAAAUCAUGAUUGGCUACACACUAGUCUUUUUCUUUCAACUUGUACCUUCAAGGACAGUGUAUUUAAUUUGAUUAUUGAUAGUGGUAAUUGUGGAAAGGUGGUGUUAAUUGAAGUAGUAGAGAAGUUGCAACUUAAAAAAAAAAACACCAUAUACCCUACAAAUUGAAGUAGAUGAAUCGAGAUCCCAAUGUAAUCAUGGAUGAAUAUUAUCUUGUUUUAUUUUUUAUAGGUAAGAGAUAUUUUGAUAGUAUUUGAUAUGAUGUUGUGUCUAUGGAUGUAUGUCAUUUAUUGUUGUAUAGACCAUGAUAAUAUGAUAAGAAUAUCAUGCAUAACAAACAAUGUAAUACUUAUACCCUUAAUAUAGUAAUGAAAGAAAAGGGAAGUUGUUAAGAGUGAACAUAAAAAUAUGUUGUUUUUAUUCUAAUUUAUUGAAAUGAAAAAAAAAACAGAGAGAGAAAGGAGAUUUUAGAGAAUCAAGAUGACAUGAAAAAGGGUAUGAUGUGGAAUAAGUCAUUGGUGGCUACUAAUGGUUCUACAAAGAUUGAGAUUAUACUAGUAUAAAACUAUAACUAAUCUUCAGGAUUUUUUAGCCAUUCUCAUCGUGUCAUUUUGCAGCAACAAAAAUAAAAAUAAAAAACUACUACAUGCCUUCAUCUCUUUGCUAUCUUCUUUUUAUCUCUAAAAAGGAGAUAAAAAUGAAUAAAAUGAUCAUUGAAGAGUAAAAAAAAAAAACAGAGUUUAUUUUACUUGAAAAAUAUUAAAUUAAUAUAUUUUUUUAUGAUUUUAAUGUUAAAAAAAAAAAUUCUUGCUUUUUCUUUGGACGAUCAUUUAUUUUGUUUUUAAAAAAUGUAAGGCAAAUAGUAUAUUUAAACUCUAUUUGUUUUUUCAUUUCAAAAGUGUUUUUCAAAAAAUUAAAAAACUAUUUUUUUAUCUGCUUCAAAUUGAUAUUUUUUUAGUGUUUUCAUAUCAUUUUGAUGUCCUGAUAUUAAAAAUAAUUUUUAAAAAAUAAAAAAAUUAUUUUAAUUUAUUUUUUAGUAAAAAAUAUUUUUAAAAAUAACCAGAAUCAUACUCCCGAACACCCUAUUAGUGCCUGUUGGAGAACUAGUGGCUUUUGUCUCCUUUUUUUUUAAAAAAAAAGGAUAACAAGUGUUUGAAAGAUUUUUAAAAGUUAUUUUGAAAGCUCUCUCAACAUAUAUAUAUAUAUAUAUAUAUAUAUAUAUAUAUAUAUAUAUAUAUAUAUAACCUGUUAGUGAUAUUUAUAUGUAUUAGAUGGAAUUGAGAUUAUAUUUAUUUUAAAGUCCAAUAUGAAGAUAUUUUCGUGAAUAGAGUAAUAUAGCAUAUAGUUGCUACCGAUCAAGGAUUAGAUAUCACAAAUUAAACCACAUUUUUUUAAUCAAUUAAAUACUUUUAGCUUUGAUUUUUUUUUCCCAUUCGACAAUGUAAAAAAUAUUAUUAUACAAUUACACAUCUUGGUUAAGUUUUUCUUGUGUCGUGAAUUAUUUUCUUUUAUAAUUUACUAUAAUGCCAUCGAACUAUUAUAAAACCACUAACAACACUAGGAGCAAGUCGGCGGUGGAUUGGGACGGCCAUUUCCAUGGCCAUUAAGAGCCCGUUUGGCUACGCGUUAGAGUUUGCAUUUCUUCAAAAACACACUGAAUAAACAUUUGGUUAAGAAAAAAAAACUACUUAAUAUGCAUCGGUCCCACAACAAAUUGUGUGCGAAACGUAGGGAGAUGGAAAGCAGCAAGCUGCUGCUUUCUUGCGCGGCAACAAAAGGCAACCAUGCUACACUGCUCACUGAACAGUGUAGCAUGGUUGCCUUUCGUGGAGCAGCAAAAUGCAUUGAACCGGGUCCGACCCAGUAAAAAAAUAUAUUAUUUUUAUUUUUUAAUUGUGUUUUAUUUGCUUGAUGAUAUAGUAUUUGCAGAAUUUGAUCACAAUUCUAAUUUGUUCCUGAUUAUAUUUUACAAGUUAUGUUGUUGCGUAUUAAAGAAACCAAGAAAAUUGUCGGAUGUAUUUCAGAUGUGAUGGAAUUGUAGAUCGUUCAAUGGAAUAAUAAAAAAAAUAUUUUAUAUAAAGUAUGAUUUAUUUUAUGAUGUAAUAGCAAUAGUUAAAUCCACAAUAUUUAAAUUAAAAAUCAUCAAUAGUAAUAUAUAUUUUUUAAAAUUAUUUUAUAAACUCAAUUUUAAAAGCAUUCUUAACCAAACACAUUAAAUUAUUUUUUCUUCAACCUCAAUUUCAACCACUGUUUUAACCAAACAUCUAUUUUUUCAAACCACCUCAAUUAAAAGUACUUUUUAUAAAAUAAUUGUUUUCAAACCACAAUCACAACAGCUACAAUAAUACCAAACACACUCUAAGUAUCCAUUUCUGACAAACACACUUAUCUCAUAAAUACCACAGAAAACUGUGCAAGUCACACAUUUUAUCCACCAUUUAGCCCGAUAAACACUAGUUUGCAUAAGCUUCAAAUAACCAUUCCAUGGCGUCGCGUCUUGGAGGUUCCUACAACAGUUAAAAUAGCUAACAUGGUGUCAGCCAUUGAAAGAUAAACAACGCUAAAAUUCAAAAUGGUUGGAGUUAGAUAAUAUAUUAUCAAUAUAUAAUUUAUAAAUCUAUAUUUUAUAUAAACUGGAGCCAAGUUUGCCUUCUUUUUUUUUUUUAAUCUUGGUGUCAACUAAAGAGUGUUUUUAGCGUUAAUUGUAUUUGUUACUAAAAAGUAAUUGGUUAGUAAUCUCAGUAAUAAUCUUGUUGGUUGUUAUUAAAUGAAAUUAGCUAAGUUAAAAUUGGUUAGGCAAGAAAUGAUUAGGUAAUUUUUUUAGAAAGCAAAAGUCUAAUGACAUUUUAAAUUAUUGACUUCAUGGUUAUAAUUUUUCAAUUUUAACAAAUCAUCAUUAAAUUCAUAUGUAUAUAAAGUAUUUAAUUUUAAGAUUUAAUGGUUUGUUUUAAGAAUCAUAUAAAGUUGAUGAUUUUAAAAUAAAUAAUACUACAUAGACAAUGCAAUAAAUAUAAGUUAAAUUAUUUUGUAAGAAUGAUAUUAGAAUAAUGCUGGAUUGCUAUUGAUUUUAUCAUUGAUAUGUGUAUAUUUUGAUACAUAGUAGAAGCUAAAUAAUAAUGGCAUUUGAUAGUGUCCGUCCUAUAUAUUCCACAGAAAUAAUGAUUUAUGGUUAUUGAUAUUAUCAUUGAUCACAAGUAUAAAUUUGGUUAACAUAAUAAUAAAAGAUAAUAAGAUAUUUGUAAAGAAUGUUGGGAUAUGAGAAAUAAACCAUUCUUAAAAGAAUGAAGUCUAAUUAUUGCUUUUAUUAAUUUGAAUACUUUAAUUGGUUGUCUCUCCUCAACAUACUACAAAGUAACGGAAUAAUUAAAACCCCAACUUACCUAUACACGUGUACCAUCUAUCACGAUAAAUGGGAUAUGAGAAAUCUUUGGCCACUAAGAGUCAUUCUCCUUUCUACAAUUUUCUUUAAGAUGUGGACAUUGCCAAAUAAGCAAUGCCUUUAAUUUGGAGAGGCGUUGAAUGGCUGUUGAACUUGGCAUAUACUUGAGAUUCUUGCAAUCCUAAGAAAUCGAAGAGAAGAAAGGUUGGCCAUCUAUUUUGGCAAUGCUUCCUCUAACUCAGUUUAAAAUAAAAAAAAAUAAUUUUUUUUUUCAAAUUUUAAAAAAAAAUGCUUUUAAAAUGUAAAAAAAAAAUAAUUAUUAAACUCAGUUUAAAAAACAUGUAAAAACUGCUUUACAAAAACCACGUUUUAAACUCAAUUUUUUAAUAUGCCUUACAAAAUAAAACUAAGAAUAAACAAACGCACCUGAGCUGAAAACUUCCAUUAUCAACAGGAGAAUAUGACUUCAUGUAGUGGUAGAACACCUCCUUCAUAGGAUCUCCCCAUUCCUACAGUAAACAAAAAGUGAUAAGCAAGUAGCAUCAAGCCACCGACACAUAAUUUCAUAGUUGGAGCAGGCAAACCCUACCUAAGCAGCCGACAUUUCAGAGAAGAAAAAAAAACCAGCCGACAACCUCUGUUCCUGGGAUUUUGGUCCUAUAAAACUCUGUACACGUGUUGAAUCUUCUUGCCCAUCACUUUCUAGUGGAAGAGUGUGUUUGUUUUUGCUGUAAUUGUUAUUGUUGCGGUUGAAAAAAAAAACACUUUUUAAAAAAAUCACCUUUCUUGUUGUUCGUUUAUAUAUUUGAGUGUUUGGUUAAAAGUGUGGUUUGACUUUAUUGUGGUAAAAAACAUGGUUGGUUAAAACUGUGGUUGCGGUUGCUUUUGUACCAAAAAUGACUAAAUAAAAUAAAAAGGACAUUAAUAAUAUAAUUCAUUGUGUUAAGAGGAAAUAAAACAUUUUUUCCAUAUAAAUACCGGCAAUAAUAAAAGCAUGCUUUGUUAUUACAAUUAAACAUUAUUGUCCCAUCAAAGUAUUUGCAAUGCCAUCAUGAAUAUAAUCCAUACGCGACGCCCUCUGGUGUCCACUUGUUUGUGAUUGUGGAACGACAUCGGGAAAAAUAUCUUGAGGAACGAAAUCAGGAUGACUAUCAAACUUGUUGAAUGCAACAUCUUGGCCCUACUUCCGUCGAAUAUAGUUGUGUAGCGCCAUUGAUACGACAACAAUUUUAACCUGUGAUUUAUAUGGAAACUCAUGCAUGGUUUGCAAGAUUCGCCAUCUUUUCUUCCAAACUCCAAAUGUACGUUCGACUACACAUCGUAAUGACGAAUUGACUCGAUUAAAUAGUUCCUCUCGACUCCGUGGUUGUCCUCGUCGAUGAAAUUCUGGAAGAUGAUAUCUUUCCCCUUUAUAUGGACCCAAGUAACCGUACUCAUUUGGAUAUCCUGAAUCAACAAGAUAAUACUUCCCUGCAUAAAUGUUAGAAUUGAUUAACGCUUACAAAAUACUUCAUAUAAAACAAAUUAGACUAGUUGAACAACAAGCACAAUUUUAUUUUUUAAUACCUUCUGGUGGCCGUGGAAAUUGUAUGUUUGUAUUUCCAAUCACCUCAUAAAAUAUUCUUGUAUCAUGAGCACUACCUUCCCACCCAGCCCAAACAAAUGUAAAUUGCAUGUCAAAGCUACAUGCUGCCAUUAUAUUUUGCGUCGGUAUACCUUUUCUACCAAUAAAAGGUAUUUGAUUUUCUUGUGAAACACACGCACGUACAUGUGUUCCAUCAAUCGCUCCAAUGCAAUUCUACAUACACAAAAAUAUUUUUUCCGAAUCAAUUUAAUUGCACGUAAAUAUUUGAUUGUAACCUUUUGAAAUAUUUAACAACUUGUACUAAGUAUUGCUUACCUUGAAAUAGGGCAUGUAUCUGGGAUUCAUUUCAAUUUCCAAUGGUGUUGUCGUGAAUUCUGGAUCUAUUGGUCUGAUUAAAUCAGCUGCUAGCAAGCACACAAAACGAAGAACCUCGUUGAAAUUUCUAGAAACGGUUUCACCUGAAUGCUGAAAAUGCUCCUGCACUUCCCUAUUCGACGCACCGAGAGCUAAAGUGUAGAGAAACAUGCCUACUUUCUCAAUAACAUUCAUCCGUCUAGACGGUUUCAACCCGUACAUCGUUUCCAACUCAAAAGACAAACUCUUCAAUGUCUCAGCAUCCAUACAAAACAUGUUCACACAACGAAUCCAAUGCCCAUUUAAAAUUUCAAUCAACCAGCGCAUGCCAGUGUUGUAUGAAUCCAUACAUGGCUCUUUAUAAAUAUAUGUAUUGUAAUACAUCGCCAAUGCUCCAGCCAUGCAUAUGACUAAUUUAGUGCGAUCACACUCUCUAUGCCAAAAUAAAUCUCCAACGGCAUCGUCAUCCUAUUGAUUUAGGUCGUCGUGCUGAGCCUCACUAUUAUAGUUUACAUAACUAUCACCAAAACUACCUCCAAAACCACUUACAGAACUUGUACCAGCAAACCCAUCAGACACAUAUCGACCAACAUUAUUCAUAACAUUUUCAUAAUGCUCAUCAAAAAGCGCAUUAAACCAAUUCACGUCCAUAUCUACAAACAAAAUUUAAUAUCAAUUUCCAACCUGCAUAGUAUCGGUACAAAAUACAUGUUCAUUGAACGAUUUGUUUUUAAAUUUUCUGUCGUUAAUGCCGGUCUUAACACAUGCAAUAUUUUUCAACACAACAAUAAUUGUAAAUUUCAACCUGCAACGUUACGGUAACAUGAAAGUUUUGUCUAUGUAAUUUGUUUACAAUAUUUAAAACAGUAAUGGCGACAUUAACUUAUCCCACAACAUAUAUAUUAUAGGAAUCCCAGAUAAGGGAACGUAUUUAUAGCGUCAUUAACAUAAGAAAAAAAAUAUAUAAUUUGAAGCGACCCCUACGAAAAAAAAUACAAGGCUAAAAAAGCAGCCUAAAGACAAUAAUUGUUCAAAUCAUCUCAAACAUAACUAAUUAUCCUACAACUACAAAUACAAAGGCAGAAUCCAUACAUGUGAUAUGUUACAAGCUAAUAAACCUGGAAAAAACAGCAAAGGCAUAACUGUUUGCAUCAACCAUUAUACAAUUCUACAACCACAAUAAGACCUCAUGAUCCUCACCCUUUUGUGGACUGUUAACUGUGAAAAAAACAGGUAAAAUACAAUAUGUUAACAGCUCAUUGGAAUACAAAACAAACAUGAUAACUUUGCAAAACAUUAAAAAAACGUGAAAUAUGGAAAGCAUGCAAUAACUACCAAAACCUAUUAAACACAACAACAUUUAAUUGCUGCAACAUAUAACAAACAAUAAAAUACAUAAAUGUAAGUUUUCCAUAUAUCAAAUGAAAACUUACUUCAAGGUCGGAAGUUAGCCCUUCGCUCAAACAUUAAUUUCAGCCACUGAAAUUUUUGGUCCAUAUCACCAAUUGUUUCCCACAUUUCCCUCCUACUUCUAACCAUAAAAAACUCAGUUGCAAAGCAAUACAGCUCACUGCCGAACACCACUUCCUCAAUGGAGUGAAACUCCUUCAUCACCUCUUCUAUGCUACAUCCUUUUUUUUUUAUCCAAAACACUUGAUGUGCACUCACUCUUGGUAGAUACACUAUCCAUUAACUUAUCUAAUCGCAAAAACAAUUGUGAUCCCCUUCCGGCACCCCUUUUCUUUUUCUCAUUUUGUUGGGAACUUUGUUACACACCUUUUAUCUUCCCACUACUACCAGUGGGAUUGGGAUUGCUUGUGCUAUUGGCAAAAUUGACACUAGCCACCAUGUUAUUGACAUCGGCAAUGAAAUUUGAAAGACUCCCCUCCUCAGAAUCGCCACUACCUUCCUCAAGAUGAGGGUCUUCAUUAACUGCAUUAUUUUGCGUUUGACCACCACCAUCUUCAUCCAAAUUCAGACCCUGUGAUGGAGCCCAAGCAUCUUGAUCGGUAGCAACAGUGUUUGUAAACAUGAUAUCAUAUUUACAACACAAUGUUGGAUCAAUGCCAGCAUGCCUAAACUUUCUUGCCCCGUGUAUCUCCUACAACAAGGGAUAAAGAACAACAAAAUGCAUAAAAAAUUAUGUAAAAACAUGAAAGCAAACUGGUUAUAACAGCUCUAAACAUACUGAAAAAAGACAGACCUGGUUUUUAGCUUUCCACAAUUCAUCAGGAGCCAAAAUUGUUCCAAGUUCAGCACUCCAUCCUACUCCUGUUUUCGAAAGCAACCUUUUCCAGAUUCUCCAAUCUUUUUUAAUUUUGUCCCACUUAUUUUUUAAUUGUGCUUUCGUUAAUGUAUGGCGAGUUUGAUCCUUAAAGCAAUUGAUAACAUAUUUCCACCCAGCUUUGUUGAAAUGUGUGUUAGGUCGCAUACCUUGCUCAAUUGCUUUAAUACAUAUGUCACAAAAAGCGUGCAACAUCUCUCUACUCCAACAAACCUUAUCUUGUGAUUGAGAAUCGUCCAUGUUGUCGGUUAAAAUGUGUUGUCUAAUUAACAAAUAACAGGUUACUUUCCUAGAGGCGAUGUAAAGGACAUGGAAUGCACAAUCUAUCCUAAUUAAAUCGCAAGCUGAAAUAGAAACUGCAAAUUGAUAACAUAGACUUAACAUAAUCAGCUUAACACUUUCAUUGAUAGGUUUAUUUCCAUUAAAGUGUGUACAAGCCAAUGUAUUCAUUGCCUAAGCGUAAGAAGGCAUGCUAAAGAGACAAUGUCCAGCCUUCAGUGUAUAUAGCAAUAUUCAAGUACUGAUUUGCAUUGGAGUUUUGAAGGAAUUACUAAAAACAUGUUAAAAUGGAAUCCUCCUUCAGUUUUGAAAAAAGUUUCUAAUGUUAAACACAUCAGCUAGUUAAACUCAACUUUAGGCACUCAGAAAAACGCACAUAUUUGAACUCAACCUCAGGCCAUCAACAGAACCCCACAUGAGCAACAACACAAUACAUUUUAAAAAUAUUUAAAGAACCUGAACAAACACUAGAUGAUAGGGGGAUUACAAAUAUAGAAUAUAUAUGUACAUAUGUUAUACCAUGAAAGACAAAAAAGACAAGAGAGAUAGCUGAAUAAAUCACUCGUAGGUACCACUCUCUUUGACAUUAAAAAAACAGAGUAUAAUUAUAACACAUAAGAAGUUGUCCAAAUAAAAAGGAAAAGGAACACAAACACAGUAAUAGAGCAUCACAAACCGGAAGAAAAGCAGAUCAUGCAGCAACAACGCAGAAAAUGUAAUAUACAAUUGGCAUAACAAAGUAACAGAACAAUUCAACCGAAACAUACAUAAUCAAACACAACAAUAACAUAAAUUUUUAUUCUCAAACAUCACACAACAAAUGAAAAUUAAAGACUACAUUAAUUGUGCAACAGAAACAGAGCAACUGACCUUGAUUUUUCCUUUACAACCAAGACAGAGAUUGGUAAGAUGCUUAGCCUUCAACUUUCCAGGAGGAUGAUUUCGAUGGUGUAUUUGGUUCUGGCAAAGAAAACACACAGCAAACGAAAUUUUUGGUUAGAGAAAACAGUGUGUUUAGCAAAUAAGGCAUGAUCUAAACAAUUUUUCAGGUGAAGUGCGAAGAACAUUACCUGGUAACACGACUAAAAGAUUGAUGUUUUCUCCCAAGUGCAGGAGUGUCGAAGUAAUAUAUAACCCGGCAAGACCGGGGUCGAACCACAGAGAGGUUAAUUGUAUAAAUUAUAAACAACAACAACAACAACAACAAUAAUAAUACUCAGUAUGUGGCGUUGUUAUACUUGAGAAUGAUCUAAAAGAUCGGGUCACAGGUUUCCAGCCUAUAUACUGAAUUUAUGAAAAGAUCAAAGAGAUAUAUUAUAUCAUAUAAACAGAUUUUUGAUGUGAAUGAACAAGGCAAGACCAACAAUGUCAGGAUCCUUGAUCAAACAUAGAGCAUACUUAACGUACAUAGAAUAUAACAAGAAUGUAAAUAAUAAUAAUAAUAAUAAUAAUAAUUAUAAUAAUAAAAAGAAGAAGAGGAAGAAAUUAAUGAGAACUUUGAGAUGGAAGAUUACUGUAAAGAUUAAACAAUGAUAAAAACAAAUGUCAAGGUUAAAGGAUCCACUAAUGGUAUUUCAAACAAGUAUAGUAUAAACUCUUAUUACUCAACUGGAAACCACACACAAAGGAGGUUUCAAUCGGCUGAUUUCUUAUUAAUAGCUCAUUAUAAAUUGUUAACAUGAUCAUAUUAAUGAUCUUAUUUACGUAACACCAAACUUUUAAAUAUUGUUAGGAAUUCAUGAUGCUAACUUAUGUUGACAACAAAUCAAGUUCCUUUCAUAGCACAGGUGUAGGUAAUACCAUACGGUUGGGCUAUGAGAGUGCCAAGCAUUUGUUGUACCAAGUGUUAUACAACACAAAUCUAGAUUAACCAUUUAACAAGCAAGGUAUUAAGAAUUAGUAAGAUAAAAAGAUAAGACAUGUUAAUAUUAAACAUUAAGGUCCAUGUUGAGUUGUAGGAAAUUGACUCAUAUUUCCAGGAAAAAAAAUGGAGGUCAUUUGGACUUCUAGAACUCCAGAUAUGGGCUGAACACUAAACAGUGUCUGGGCUACAGGACAAAUUCGGACUUCUUUGUUAUUGCUAUAAUUUGAACUUGAAAAUGGCCUUCUUAGAUCUUGGCCUCCACAUGAAAGUUGUAGGCCUAUGUCUUACUGAAUCUGUGUAAAAAUUUGAGAUCAUUUGGACAUCUAGAACUCGAGAUAUGACUCAAUUACCGAAUAGUAUUCCAGUUUGGACUGCACCAACAUCUCUUUUCUAAGUUUGGCCCUCUCUUUGUCCUUUCAAUUUCCAUACUUGAUCUCAUAAAUCAAUCCUUUGAUUUAUGUGAUAGGCCUGCAUUUAAGAUGAACAUUUAUUAUAUAUUAAGGCAUUUUAUAGUAUUAGACUUGUUAUUAUAAAACAUGCUUUAGUUAAGGAGUUAUUGAUACUUUAAGUGCAAAAUGAUGAUAUAAAAACUUGAUAAAUAUGCACUUUUAAGUACUAAUCACCCCCCCAACCAGUUUAUCACUAGUCCCUAGUAAUCAAAGCAUUAAAAUAGAAAAACAAUUUGCAAAUUCCAUAAAGCAAGGCAUUCAUCAUUCAACUUCCAUUAAUCUAUCCAAAUAAACAAACUCUCAUUAUAUGCAUAUAUCUACUCAAUACCUCUUAAACAAGAUAUUACUAAUCCUUUCUUUUGUGCUCAAAAUAUCAAUAUAUAGUUAUGGGGCUUUACUUGGAAGAAAAACAAAUUUUUGCUCUAAUUUUUAAGGUUAACUUCCUUGGGUUAGGAUUGUCGCACGUCGAAAAAUCCCGUGCGCGGCAUCGGCUGGCGAUUAUCGUCUCGUUGUUUGUAUUGCUUGAAUUGGUUCAUUAGGAGUCGCCACCUAGUAUUUAAUUAAGGUUACUAGGAAACCUGGUAGACUGGUCAUGGUCAGAGAUUCGCGGGUAAGGAACUGAUUGUGGUUAGAGAAGAUAUUAACACCCCUAACACACCCUACCUGAGGUAAGCUGCUCCGUGGACUUGAUAUGUUAAAGAAGUUUUAACAAUUUUAUCUUUUCGUCGGAUUUUAGAAAUACAACUUCCGUACAAGUUUGUACUUCUACACUGUGAUCCAAUCAAAAUAUUAAAUCCUUUUUUAUUCUUUGCCGUCUUAUCAUAAAAAUUCACAAACAAAUACAUACACCACAUUCAAGCUUCGUGAGCUUGAGGUCAUUUUUAAAAUAAAAUUUUAGCCCACUUCUAAAGCUUCGAUACAUCAGUUAUUAAUUCCCAGAAUAUAUGUAAAAACAUGUUCUUACAUAUUCAUGGAAAAUACAACAUGAUUUUAUCCAUCCUUAGAAUUUGUGCAUUAAAAUAUUAAAAACAUUUUUCUUUUUGUCCUUUUUUAUUUUUUAUAAUUCAAUAACAUAAAAUAAAAUAAAACACACCAACACACACACUCUUUUUUAUUAUUAUUUUCUUUUCUUUUCUUUUCUUCUUUUACAUUCACAUUUACACAAAAUACAAAUUUAAAACAAAUAAACAAAAAUUACAAUAAGGGCUUCAAAACCAUCUGAAACUACAUGAAUGCCCCUUUGCAAGCUGAAACAGUGUUGGGAAACAGUGGCGGCACGUCACUGGCGGCGAGUGGGUUCACGCGCCGCCGUCAAAAAACCAGCAGCAAAGGGGGGUCUGAAAACGUGUUCCUCCCCUCUUCAAUCUCCUGCUGCCCGUCACCUGCAAAACAAACCCAACACACAUCAGCAGUUGAUUUUAGUCCUUGUUUUAGAUCUAAUUUUGAAUUUUUUCUUCUGCCCGUUUCGGGUCUGUUCGAUUUCUGGUGAGGAUGGCCUUCAACCCUGUUGGUGGCGGCUGGGUUUCAUCUUCUUCUCCUCUACCUCCAGUGUCAGAUCGGAUUUUUGUUUCCUUUCUCUUCUCUGUCGUGGACGGGUCUGCUGUAGAGGAGAUGAGAGGAGCUGUUCAGUUUCUUUGGAGAAGAAGGCAGUUGUGGCGCCGGUGGGGGACGGCUCUGGAAGGACUGUUGUUGGCCGGUGGAGAUGAGGCUAUUAUGUGGCACUGCGCUGCUCAUGGUCGAUUGCCCUGACCGCUGCUGCCGGAGAGGGGCGGCGGGUCUGCCACCGGUUGAAGGAGAUGAUGACAGUGUUGCCCCGGCGUUGGAUCUGUUCGGUCGUCGCUACUGUGGAAGGAAACCGAAGGAGAAGCAGCCGUGGCUGAGGAGGAGAUCGUGAAGGCCGACGUGCAGGGGAGAUGAAGGAAGGAAUGGGUUCGGUUUCAAGCAGGGAAGAUGAAGGAAGAAACGGCCUGAGGAGGAACCGGCUGGAUUUUUUUGAAGGAGAAGGCUGCGGCUACAGUCUUGGAAAAAUGGGGAGAAGGGAGUAGAUUCCCAUGGCUGAGAGGGGUUCUCUUGGUUAUAAGGAAGUAGUGAAAACCGGCUGUAGAGGAGGUUGGUUUGGCUGCAAGAGGCAGAUGACGGGGAGAUGGGGAACUCAAUCGAAGGAGGGAGCUAGCUGGCUGGCUUUGGUUAAAGGUCGGGGGCCAGUUUUUUUCGGUUUGUUUUGGGGCUGAAGGGAUGCGAAAACUUUGGCUGGCAAGAGGGGAAAAAUGGCUGGAUGGAGACGAGGGAGUCCGGCUGGUUUUGGGUCAGGAAAAUCAAACCCCGGGGAAGCAGCUCAAGGAGCCAAAAAAUGGAGACCAGCAGGGGGGCGGCUGGCGUGAAAGGCAGAGUUUUUUUAGGGUUAGGUUUCUGCAUUUUUUCUUUUGAAAGUGUCAAAAUUACCCCCCUACAAAAUAAACCCCCCUUAGCUUUAAGUUGAAAGCUGCUAUUUAUAGGCAAAUUAUUUUUUCGGGCUUCCAAAUUGGUCCCUCAAUUUUUGUGUUCAAUUCACUUGGUAAAAAUUAAAUUUGGUCUUAAAAUUUCAAUCUUUUCAAUUCAGUCCAAAUUAAGCUCCCAAACUUAAUUUUUCACCAAUUAAGCCCCCAAAUUAAUUUGACCCAUUUAAAGUAUAAUUAAGUCCUUGCACUUAAUUAAAUCCUUCAAUUGGACCUAAAUUAAUUCUUAAACAUAAUUAAAAUUUAAUUUGGCCCAUGAUUAAAUCAAAUUGGCCCAUUAAAAAUUUAAUUAUGUCAUUGGACUUAAUUUUUAUGCAAAUUCAUCCAAUAAUCAUUUAAUUUGACCUUCGAAUUUGCAUUUAAUUUGACCUUCGAUUUUUGCCUAUUUUUGCAGUCUUUUUUUAUCGGCUUUCUCCACAGUGCCAGCCUUUAUUUUAUUUUUUGAUUUUUUAUUUUAAAAAAAGUGAAUUUUGGGAAUAACCCAAAAUUGGGUUAUGACAAGGAUUAUUAUCUUUAUAUAUAUAUAUAUAUAUAUAUAUAUAUAUAUACAUACAUACAUAUAACUUAAAACACAAUGCAUCUUUAACCCAUGUAAUGAGUUUUCGGCUAAUGACUCCUAGACCAGUUGGUCUUAGGGCAUUAGGUGUUGAGACACCCCUACGAGCUUAGUAACUCGAGUUGUAGAUACUGAUACGUAGAUAGUGCAAUGUUUGAUUUCCUUAAGCUUUUCUCCUCAACCCAUGUAACAAGCGUUGUGUCAAUAGCUCCCAAAUCAGUUGACUUUAGGGUAUUAAGUGUUAAAACACCCCUUCAGGCUUAAUUGCUUAGGUUAGGGAGGCUAUGAAACCAAAUUUAUCUACCUUUUUAUUAUCAUUAUUUUUUUGUUUUUCUUUUUUUUUUGUUUUUUUUUGUUUUUUUGCAAAUUAUGUACUAUCCAUUUCCCUUAGUUGUUACCUUUAACAAAAGAGCAUAAAUAAUGUAAUAAUCCAAUGUGCAACCCACAAUUAUAUGUUAAAGUGUGUGUGUGAAAAUGAAGAUUUAAGAAUACUUGUUAAAUGAGCAUAUGAGCAGAAUCAAGUGCUAACAAUACGAGAGUUUGGUAUUAUUGUACCUGUUGUGAUUGUGGUUUGAAAAAAAAAAUUAUAUAAAGUACGAUUUAUUUUAUAAUGUAAUACCAAUAGUUAAAUCCACAAUAUUUAAAUUAAAAAUAAUCAAUAUUAAUAUAUAUUUUUUAAAAUUAUUUUAUAACCUCAAUUUUAAAAGCUUUCUUAACCAAAUACAUUACUGACAAAAUGAAUGGUGGAAUUGUCAGGAAUCGUAGUCAAGCUGAUAAAAUUACUGACAAGAGAUAUGUGCAGAAAAACGGAUUGCAAGAAGAAGUGAUCAUCAGGCUUUUCUUGAAAGGGGCUAUGGUGAGGAUUUUGAAGUGGAAAGGGCUGCCUUCAAAAGCUUUGAGCAAUCCAAUGAUGUUAUUGGCAAGACAAAAGUUCCGAUGUGGAAAAUAGAGGAGAAGAUUCAGAAGCUAGGAAACUGGUGUGUAAUCUAUACUCUUUUAUAUCCUCUCUUUUUUUCUUCAUAAGCUCAAUUGAACUUAACUAUCCUUUCAUUACAACUAACAAGAUUUUAUUGGCAUGUGUGUGCAAAUUCCGUGUAGCUAAGCUAUUUUGUAUUUUGAUCUAUGCUGUGUAAUUGUACCAGUCUUCAUGUAACAGAGCAAAGCAAUCUGAUUCAUGUCAAAAGAAGCAUUUCCAAUACAAUGUGUCCGUCCCGGUUUAUUUUUCCAGCUUUGUGUACUGAUACCUGAUAGAUUUUUGAAUUCAUUGGACUCUUAUUUGCCACUGUAACAAGUGGUCCAGAGAUUAAUGUGCCCCUUCUCCUCACUCCAUGUUUAGAUUACAGUCACACCAAGCAGUUUUGUUGUGGUGGGACAGCCUUAGCCUUGGGGGGCAAGGGGUUUCACUGGUUUCUUACCUGGUUUGUUCUUUCCAAAAAGCAGGACAGUUCAUAUAAAGGUAAACAAAUUAUGGAGUAACAAGUUGUUAGGACAUCAAUGAAGGGAAUAGCUGUAUGGACUUGUUAUGGAGGUAAUAGCUGUUUUUACUAUCCACGGUUCUUAUCAAUAUUUCACAUCAGCAGAACCUGUAUCUUAGAUUCUUAGCAAUACCUUGUUGUAUGAGUUUAUCAUUGUUCUGAUAAACAGCUAGUCAUGUUUGCUGACUUGCUACUAUGAUUAUCACUCCAUAUUUCAACUUUCAUAGAGCUGUUCAUAGAACUAGACUUCUAAUCUAAGCAUAUGGACUUAAUUUUUCUGAGUAAAAGUACAUCAUGAACUGUUAGUUCAAAUCCUACCACCAACCUCUUUGGUGUCGUCCAGAGAUUCAUCUCACCUGUUGCGUGGUGCAUGAUGGCUGAGAGGUUUGAACGUACCCCAGGUUUUACCCAGUGCUAAAUAAAAGGUUUAAUUCAGAAAAAAGACUUUUGAUUUUUGCAGUAUGAAGUUAGUAACCUAACCUAGGUACAUCAGUUUGGUUGAAUAGGGUGUCAUAUGAACUUGCUGUACAAUAUUAAUUCUCUGGUUGGGCUUUCCGUUUCUCAUAUUCAAUUUUAUGGUUCAUAUUCAAAUGACUGCGCCUUGAUACUUCACAAUCAAGAUAAUUCCAAGGGUUGUUUGAUCUUGAUUCACUCUCAUGUGUUCAUGUGGUAGUUUCUACUAUUUGUUAAUGUUGGAUUCCAAUGUUAGUUUUCAGUAGUAAGAGGGGGUACCAUUUCAUAGCAUCAUGAAGUGAUAAUUUCCCAUCAUUUUUGGCUCUUUAAGAUAGGUGCUCAAUCUAGCAUCUUUUAGGGUGGUUUUGGUGUUAAAUAUCAUUGUCAAAGCAUAGGAGCAUGAGCUAUCCUUUUGACCUGCAUACCAUCAAGAAAAAUGUUUCCUAUGAAAAGCCUUGUUGUAUUAUAAAGUGGACUUAUGGAACUGGUAACAGUUUGCUAGAUAUUCUCAUUUUCUUGAAUAUACAUCUUAGUUUUUUUAAUAACCAGGAAAUGAUAAAAUGGUUUUCUGCCUCGUACUUGAGCAAGUCAUGCUUGCUUGUGGCAAGUACAACUUGGUUCAUGAGUUCUUCAAAAAAGUUCAGAAGUCUUCCAUUCCAAAUGCCUUAGUAUAUAAAGGUGCUUGACUGGUCUAUCAUUUCUUCCAUUUGAUUUUAUAGAACCUCAUUUUGAAAUCAAAUUCUUGUUACAUACAGUUCUCGUCAAUACUUUUUGGAGAGAGGGUAAGACAGAAGAGGCUGUGUUGGCUGUCAAAGACAUGGAAAGACGCUGUCUUUGUACAUCUGGAAGGUGUCAAGAAGCACUAGAUCUGGUAAUCUUUUUAUGCUUAGUCUACUAUCUUUUUAAAACUGAAUAUAAAGAACACUGUAUUGUAGCUAAACGAUCAAAACGCUAUCUUUUUAUGCAUUGAAUGGUGUGUUUCUAAUUAGAGUUUAUGAGCACGGGGAGCUAUAUCACUGCAAAAGGCAAAAAUCUGUGUAUUGAUAACUGUUGCCUGCCCAGUUAAGGUUUUGCAAGUGCGUCUUUGGGCCCUUUCCUAACUGCUGGGAUGUCUCUUUGGGCAUUUAAUAGUUUGCAAGCUUUAAAGCUAUAUAUUUUGUACACUCAUUGAUGCUUUUGUAAAACUCCAUGUAUAUAAACAAGUAGAUUGCAACCGGUUUGGUGUCACUUCGACCACCUACAAUUUGUGUGCUUAUUAUUACCACUAGCUUUUCUUUGAACAAACAGUCCAUCACAACCUCCUUUCAUUUCACAGAUUGAGAAAAUAUGCAAGGUUGCUAAUAAGCCGCUUGUAGUAACUUACACUGGCUUAAUCCAAGCUUGUCUGGACUCUGGAAACAUUCAAAACGCUGUGUACAUCUUCAAUCAAAUGAGGAACUUUUGCCCCCCAAAUCUUGUUACUUGCAACAUAAUGCUGAUAGCGUAUCUAGAACAUGGAUUGUUUGAAGAAGCAAACGAGCUUUUUAAGAAAUAAACCAUUCUUAAAAGAAUGAAGUCUAAUUAUUGUUUUCAUUAAUUUGAAUACUUUAAUUGGUUCUCUCUCCUCAGUAUAUAUAGAUUGAUGGGAUAUGAGAAAUCUUGGGCCACUCAGAGCCAUUUUCCUUUCUACAAUUUUCUUUAAGAUGUGGACAUUUCCAAAUAUCCAAUGUCUUUAAUUUGGAGAGGCGUUGAAUGGCUGUUGAACUCGGCAUAUACUUGAGAUUCUUGCAAUCAUAAAUCCGAAGAUAUUGAAGAGAAGAAAGGUUGGCCAUCCAUUCUGGCAAUGCUUCCUCAAACUCCUCUCCAUCAAAAUCCAUUAUCGCCAAUGUCUCGAGGGCAGUGAGGUGUUGAAGUUGGUGUGGUACACUCUUCAGUUUAUCCCAUCCAUGUAUCCUUAGGGAUUUGAGGGACCCACUCAAGUUGAGGUGUUGGAUUGAGUUUAAAACUCCUACAGGAAAAGCCUCCAUCUCCUCUGAGAAACCACCGAU